This 74849-nucleotide long non-coding RNA is filed under the name Triticum aestivum (bread wheat). RNAcentral's name for it is "long non-coding RNA (TAES_LNC024411)". Lineage: Eukaryota; Viridiplantae; Streptophyta; Magnoliopsida; Poales; Poaceae. The record is from RNAcentral.
GCAGGGGGAAUGGUUGUUGGGGAAUUAUUUGUUCUGGUUGCUGGGGGAAUGGUAGUUGGGGCCGGGGAAAUGGUUGUUGGGGUUGCUGGGGGAAUGGCUGUUGUGGUUGCAGAGGGAAUGAUUGUUGGGUCUGGGGAAAUGGUUGUUGUGAUUGCUGGGAAAAUUGUUGUUGGGGUGUGGGAAAUGGUUGUUGCGAUGGAUAUGGUUGCUGUGAUGGAUAUGGUUGUUGUGGAUAUGGCUGUUGUAGAAAUGGUUGUUGUUGAUAGGAAAAUGAUUGUUGAGGUGAUUGUAAUUCUUUGUUGCUAGGGUUUAGCUGCCUAGCGGCAGUGGCGAUGUUCAUCGCCAUGGCAAGGAGGACAAAGAUGAGGAAGGUCUUCAUGUUGGAUUUGUGGUUACUACUGCUUGCUUGCUUUUGAUGCUUGUGGUCUAGGUGUGUGAAGUUUGGAUGAUGAAAUGUGGUCUUGGUGGUGCAUGUGUAUUUAUAGUUUUCAUGGCAUGGCUUGCUUUCUUCUUCCCACUCGCUUUUUGAAAAAGUGCACCAAUGCUUAUCCAACUAAUCAUUUGAUUUGUUGUGUUUGGUGCAACUACUUACUAGCAAGAUUUUGGAUUUUCAUGAUAGUUGCUUUUUGUUGAAAUCAUCUGGUUGUAAGGAAUGUUGGAUAAUGACCAAUGACUCAUCUUCUUCACUUUACACUGCAAACAUUGAUCUAAAUUAUAUCCUUUUUUGAAAUUUAGUUUGUGAAGCUCUACAUGUUGUUAGGCUUAUCUAUAUUGGCAUAGCUUGAGUGGAAUUAAGUUUGUAAGCUUGUGAGCGUCAUUAUGAUGGAUCACACUAUUAAUGUGAUGAUUGUACUACAAAUUAUCUUUCCAAAACUAAUUUUAUGUUUUUUCCCAAUAUGAUUCUAAGACGGAUAACCAGACAUGACUCAUCAAAUAACAAGAUAAACCGAGUAGCAAAUUGGGGUUAUAAGUUAUAACAUGGACUUUUCUCUAAGAUACACUAUCUUGUCUUGCAUGCUCUGUGAAUUUGAAAAGCAUCUACUAAUUUAUAUGCAAUUGAAACAAAAGUAGACCAGAAAGAUAAGCAAUGAAAUGAGAAUACUAUUAUGUGAAGCUCUACAUGUUUGGCAAGCAAUAAGAUACUGGAUACAUCUAUAUCUUCAAUCCUGACAAUUUUUCUCAUCCCUAUCAACUCUUUAUUGGCUGCCUUUACUGUAGUCAUCCCUUAAAUAAAAAUCACUUAAAGAUAAGUUUGGGAGCUAGUACCAGCAUCUAUCAUGUACAAGAUAAAAAACUAAGGCACAUAUAGUAGUCUAUUGACUAUAUUUAAUUUCAUGUGAUGUGAAAGCAUGUGGAGUAUAAGUUGGUUAAAUAUAAAAUUGUCCUUCAUACCAGUAGGGAAAGAAUAUGCAGUAUAAAGAUUAGAGCAUUAUUAAUAUGCUAUUAAAUGCUACAGGAUAAUCGAUAGUUCAAGUUAAGAACAACAAUAGCAUUCCAACUUUUGUUUUGUGCAAGUUAAGAACAUGCUAACAAAGUAACCUAAGCAAAUAAGUGCAACACCUUCACCUAUAAGGAAAUUUUGAAACUACACAAAAUGACCUAUUGUAAAGAAGGAAAAAAAUCUAAAGGUGAAUGAAAAGCAUGUUAAGUACAUUCAGGAUUCGGUUAUGCCUUCAUGGAUAACCUUUUAGAUGGUGACUUGUCAACCUUGAUGUGUGUCGGCAUGGAACGAGGACAAGAAGACAUCGUUACGUCGUACUUUGGGAAUUUCAUCAAACUGGUUGUGUGCGGGAACAAAUAUUUGUCGCCUCCCUGCUCAAAUCUCUCUUCAUGUCACUAAAUCCGACACUCCACCUACCAAAAUCAGCUGCAAGCCAGGGACAAUCAACAGGUUUCUCCGCCCGUAGCAUCUAUCACCAAAAGAAGUUCAGACUAUAGUCUUGUAGUUUAAAAUUUUGUAAUAACAAGCACUACUAGGUUGCUCUUGUUUGUACGUCUUCAUUAUGUACAACCCAUGGAACUUAAAAUGCAUGGGUCAUUCUUCGGUAUAUACAACCAAUGCAACCAAACAUGCAUUGGGCUUUUCUUUGUACAUCUUCAGGUUCUACAACCAAUGCAACAAAAAAUCCAUUGGGCAGUCUUCCAUUCUAGUCGGGCACCAAUAGUUAAACGAGGAGCUAAACAGUGUUGGAGUCUAAAACUACAUACAAUCAUGAAGCAGAGAGAUGCGACUUGGAAGUUGUGCUCCUGUGAGCUCGUAUUUUUGAAGAAAAAAGUAAUAUUUGUAUUUUGAAGUGGGAAAAAGUCCUAAAAAGGGAUGUUUUGCGGGUUAUAACUUACUAUUUUUGAGUCCUGGGCUGCAGGAAGGUCGUAAAAAAUCAAUGUGUUUUCCCAUUCAUGCAUGUUUCUUGGGUUAUAGGUCACGCUUUUGGUGUCCUAGGGAGAUCACUUCCCCAGUUGGGAACAUUAGGUGAUGAUUUUUAGCAAAACUCAUUGUUUUAGCCUAACUAGUUUCGAGGAUUGGUGGACAAGAUUAUCAUGGAACAAAGUGACAACCUUCCUUUUCUUCAUGCCUAAUAUAAACUUAGCAGUCAACUAAAAGUAACUAGCGAUAUCACAGAAUGUUUUUUUGUCAAAAGUAGAUACCACUUCAGGAUUCAACUCGGUUAGUUCAAUCAUAGACAUGUUAAGAGCAGGAUUUACAACUAACUGCAUAGGGAACAUCUCCUUUUAUCGCCCACUAUCUGUCUAUGCACUUUGGUUUUCCCGUAGCAGCACACAAAGCACUUUGUUAGUACCAAUAAUGUGCUCCAACUCUACACAUUAAUCAUCUUGAAUUCUUCUACUGAUGUCGAACAAUGUUAUAUCUUGAAUUCUUCUAACGAGUUCAGAUUAUACUACAUGGGCAAUUUAUCUGGUCCCUGAGAUGCAAGGUCGAUGAACAAUCGCUUCGUCUGAUGAUGAGGGAUUGUUUUUGCCUAAGAAACCAAUACAUGUAACUUCGACGCCAGAUUAAUAAUUGGUAAAACCCAAAUAAAUUAGAUCACGAGCUAAACCAUUUAAUUUUGUAUGCAUUUAAACUUUUGAUACAUAUGAGCUUGUUAAGAUGUUCGCAUAAACACCAUGGUGAUUUGAAGCAAGACAAAGUAAACUUGAACCGCUUGAGCCACUGACUUAAUAAGAACCUCCUUUCCCGUGGCAGAGAUCGUUUUUAAUACAUCCACUCACUUUGGUUCUCUUAUGAAAUCUAGAUUCCUUCGCUAAGGCUAUUGCUCCAGUAUUGUCACAAAAGAUUUUUGUUGGACCCGAUGCACUAGGUAUGACACCUAGAUCGGAUAUGAACUCCUUCAUCCCGACUCCUUCAUUUGCUACUUCCGAAGCAGCUAUGUACUCCUCUUCACAUGUAGAUCCCUCCACGACGCUUUGCUUGAAACUGCACCAACUGACAGCUCCACCAUUCAAUAUAAAUACGUAUCCGGUUUGUGACUUAGAGUCAUCCAGAUCAGUGUCAAAGCUUGCAUCAACGUAACCAUUUACAACGAGCUCUUUGUCACCUCCAUAAAUGAGAAACAUAUCCUUAGUCCUUUUCAGGUAUUUCAAGAUGUUCUUGACCGCUAUCCUAUGAUCCACUCCUGGAUUACUUUGGUACCUCCCUGCUAAACUGAUAGCAAGGCACACAUCUGGUCUGGUACAUAGCAUUGCAUACAUGAUAGAACCUAUUGCUGAAGCAUAGGGAAUGACUUUCAUUUUCUCUCUAUCUUCUGCAUUGGUCGGGCAUUGAGUCUAACUCAACUUCACACCUUGUAACACAGGCAAGAACCCUUUCUUUCCUUGAUCCAUUUUGAACUUCUUCAAAACUUUAUCAAGGUAUGUGCUUUGUGAAUGUCUAAUUAACCGUCUUGACCUAUCUUUAUAGAUCUUGAUGCCCAAUAUAUAAGCAGCUUCACCGAGGUCUUUCAUUGAAAAAUUCUUAUUCAAGUAUCCUUUUAUGCUAUCCAGAAAUUUCGUAUCAUUUUCGAUCAACAAUAUGUCAUCCACAUAUAAUAUCAGAAAUGCUACAAAGCUCCCACUCACUUUAUAAAGGCUUCUCCAAAAGUCUGUAUAAAACCAUAUGAUUUGAUCACACUAUCAAAAUGUAUAUUCCAACUCUGAGAGGCUUGCACCAAUCCAUAAAUGGAUCACUGGGCUUGCACACUUUGUUAACACCUUUUGGAUCGACAAAACCUUUUGGUUGCAUCAUAUACAACUCUUCUUUAAGAUAUCCAUUAAGAAAUGCAGUUUUGACAUCCAUUUGCCAAAUUUCAUAAUCAUAAAAUGCGGCAAUUGCUAACAUGAUUUGGACAGACUUAAGCAUCGCUACGGGUGAGAAGGUCUCAUCAUAAUCAACUCCUUGAACUUGUCGAAAACCUUUCGCAAAAAGUCGAGAUUUGUAGACAGUAACAUUACCAUCAUCGUCAGUCUUCUUCUUGAAGAUCCAUUUAUUCUCUAUGGCUUGCCGAUCAUCGGGAAAGUCAACCAAAGUCCACACUUUGUUCUCAUACAUGGAUCCCAUCUCAGAUUUCAUGGCCUCAAGCCAUUUCGAGGAAUCUGGGCUCAUCAUUGCUUCCUCAUAGUUUGUAGGUUCAUCAUGGUUGAGUAACAUGACCUCCAGAACAGGAUUACCAUACCACUCUUGUUGGGAAUAUGACUACCAGGUAUGACCCGCCCAGGAGGGGCCGGGUCAAUCCUAAUGGCGGGUUACUAAAAGAAGCUCAGUGAAUAUACAAGGCGAUAGUUUAUUAUAAGACUUGUAGUAGGACCAAGCCCAAAGGCGGGUUAAGGCCCAUAAUUGUAAACCGCCAUGUAUAAGAAAGAAUUGUAAAGAAAGGCAUGUAAGAGAAGUCACCGAGCCGGGCACGUUAUAUGAGCCGGCUGGGACUCUGUAGGCCGCCAGGCGUCAACCCGUGUAUAUAAGGGGACGACCCGGUGGCGGCUUAGGGCAAGUAACAUCAAAUCGAGAGCCAUGCAUAGCGUAUUUGCUCCCUGGUCAUCGAAACCUAGCAAUACCACAUCAACUGGACUAGGCUUUACCUUCACCGUAGGGGGCCGAACCAGUAUAAACCUUUCGUGUCCUUUGUCCCGAUUAACCCCUUUAAGCUUCCUAGUUGCGAUGGCUCCACGACUAAGUCCUUUCAGUAGGACAUCUGCCGUGACAAUUCCACGACAGUUGGCGCCCACCGUGGGGCCAUCGCACGAUGGAUUUGAGUUCUUGAAGGGCAGCUUCCAAGGGCUCAAGGGAUACGCUGUGGGCCGGAUAACCAAAAGUUGUCACAGCAAGCUCUACAUCGACGACGCAGGCUGGGGCCCCGAGGCUGGCUCAAUCGAGUACGGGUACCGGGUCCCCUUCGGCGGAAUCCACGUCUUCAUCGGCCGGAUCGGCGAGCCGGGCCCUGAGUCGGACAUCUGCACCGACCUCAUCGAGAUGGCUCAGCGAGUGAGACCUGCCCGGGCUCAACCUGCCGUGAGGCGUGCCUUCGUGGGUUGCAUCCAUGGAGGGGAAUUUUCUGAAGGAUCGAUGGACGGUGGUGAGACAGUCGUUUGCUCUAGCAGUGAGUCGUCCAUAGGCGAGACAGAUUCUUUGUAUCAGCUACAAGAUGGCGGGCUUGGGGGCUGUUCCGAUGGCAGUAGUAUUCCGGACCCCUCUGAGCCGCCGAAUCGAGCCGGAGUCUUCAUGGCUGGCACUCAACCUGGUUAGAAUUCUAUGGCUGCGGCAGCAAUAACCACUGGGUCAGCAGGGGCCGGGUCAGGAGACCCCGCGCGCCCACCGGCUCAGGUACUAAUGGACCUCAUGGAUAGGAUGACGGCCCUGUUGACUGCUGUGGUUGAGCCGGCAGAUAAGGCUCAGCAUGACGCAGAGGUAGCACAGCUACACAGAGAGGUAGCACAGGCCAAGGAAAAUUUAGUGGCGGAAGAUGUCAGGAUGGCCGCGGAACGGGCGGCUCUGGAUGCACGGGCUCGGCAGCUUCAAGCGAAGACUUUCUGGCUCUCGGUGGAUCUGAACGCAUCAAACGAGGUCACGAGGAGAAGGCACCAGAAGGCUCAAUCAUGUCUGCCUCUGACUUACGAUCCUAGGAACCUUUUUCACACACCCGGGACUGGUCCCAGUAACCCGCUGAAGGCAAACCGGAUCACAACACCCGGGACCGGGACGCCGGUUCAACCGCGGGCCAUGGAACCACCGCGUGUGAAUACUGCUCUGCCUCACUACACAGCGAUACCACCGGGUCACUUCUCUAACCCCUUGGAGAACCUUAUUGCUGCGUCGGCUCAUCUGGCGGCUCUCCCGAUGGAAGGUGACUCUUCGACGGCGAUCGAGACACGACGGGUCAGAGAACUUCUUCAGACGGCUCUGGCACAGCAGGAUGCAUAUUCUUAUAGUUGAGAUAGAAUCCAUUCAACCCCUCGCCCAAGCCGGAGCCCAAGCUAUAGCAGGCAUAUGGACUCGGCGGCCAUGUCAAGCAACACCCAGCGCCGUAACCAUCCACGUGGGCGUGACCCGGCCCCGGGCGGAGCUUGUAACUUGGUAGACCAGGAGAGGAUCCGUCAAGAGGCUGAACGGGUGGUUCAACAGGCGGCUGAGCAAGCGGCUCACCAAGCUUUUCCAAUUUAUACAGUGACCUCUGUUGAAGCAGGGGUGGCCACAAGGACAGGAGGAGUCCCUUGUCUUGUGCAGUCUCUGCGUAAUGAGCGUUUACCAAAGGACUUUAAGGGGCCUCGUAAGGUGCCCAAUUACACAGCCGACCUGCAGCCCGGAGCAUGGAUUGAAAGUUACGAGAUGGCCAUGGAGUUAUUAUAAGUCAGUGACGCAGCAAUGGCCAAAUACUUCACCAUGAUGUUGGAUGGAACAGCUCGUACUUGGUUAAAGGGGUUACCGCCCAACUCCAUCGGCUCAUGGGCGGAGUUGAAGGCACGGUUCAUUCAGAACUUUAAAGAUACCUGUAAACAGCCCAUGUCAAUCGUGGACUUGACUAACUGCAAGCAAGAGGAAGGCAAAUCCAUGACCCAUUGGGUGCGCCGGGUCAAGGAAAUAAUACAUUCAUCUGAUAAGAUGGAUGCCAGCUCCACGGUCUUAAUGUUGGAGAAAAAUUACCGUUUUGAACCUCUGAAACAGAAGCUGGGGCGGCUCAAGCAUGAUUGUAAUGACAUGGGCCAGUUGAUGGCGGCUCUGGUCAAAUAUGCUGACUCUGACAGUACCAAGGAUCCCAUGUCUGACGAAGAGAAGACGAGGAAGGGAAAGAAGAACGGCAACGGCAAGGGUCACCAGCAUAACCCGACAAAUCAAGGAGGUAAUAAACGCAAGGCUGACGAGUUUGUGGCUAACACCAAUGCACAUGGCAACAACCAAUGGCGCAAGGGGAGGCCACCUCCUCGGUCAGGCGGAUCAGGUCCCACCCUCGAGCAACUACUAAAUGAACCCUGUCCGGGACAUGGCACCCGGGAGAAGCCGGCUACCCAUCUGUGGAAGGAUUGUACGAUCAUGAAGGCUUUUAAGAAUUCUAACAUGUUUGAUGGUAACCACGGGCCUGCUGGCGGCUCAGGCGGUGGCGGUUUUCAUGGCCAAGGCCAUCCGGGUAGUCAAGGCGAUUAUAGUCAGCAAUCCGGCCAGGGCAGUCAGCAACAGCAGCAACAGCCCGUGUAUCAGAGUAACCCAAAACAGCUGAACAGUGGACAGUACCAUGUGUUUACCACCAGUUUGUGCAAGAGGGACCAGAAGCUUCAGAAGAGGGAUGUAAAUGCUAUUGAGCCGGCGGUUCCACGUUAUUUGAGAUGGUCUGAACAACCUAUUCUGUGGAGUAGGGAAGAUCACCCACCCCGGGUUGAUAAUCCGGGUCAUCUGGCUUUGGUGGUGGCGCCUCAGGUUGGUGGAUAUAAGUUCACUAAAGUGCUCAUGGACGGAGGCAGUAGCAUCAACGUCCUCUAUUAUGAGACGUUCUGUCGCAUGGGGUUGACUGAUAAGAGUCUUAAAACAUCCAACACUGUUUUUAUGGGGUAGUGCCUGGUAAGUCGGCGUACCCAGUUGGUAAAAUUGAGCUGGAAGUGGCCUUUGGAGAUGAGUAUGAUUCUAGGGCUGAGAAGCUAACUUUUGAAGUGGUUAAAAUCAAGAGCCCAUAUCACGCUCUGUUUGGACGGCCGGCUUAUGCUAAGUUCAUGGCCCGGCCGUGUUAUGUGUAUUUGCAGCUCAAAAUGUUGGGUUAUAAAGGCACUAUCAUAGUACAUGGAAGCCGGAAAAUAGCCCUGGAAUGUGAAGAAGGUGAUGCUGCAUAUGCCGAGUCUGUUUGUGCAACAGAGGAAUUGAAGUUUUAUAAGGAUAAUGUUGACCCGGCAAACAUGGCGUCUUUGAAGAAGCCAACUACGGAGCAUGAGCCGGCAUUGAAAUUCAAGUCCGCUGAUGACACCAAGAUGAUUGAUUUCGUGUCUGGCGACUCAUCCAGACACUUCAUUAUCAGUGCUAACUUGGAUCCAAAAUAGGAAAGCGUGCUCAUCGAGUUCAUCCAUGAGAACCGGGACAUCAUUGCAUGGAAGCCUUCUGACAUGCCGGGUGUUCCGAGAGAACUCGUUGAGCACACUCUCAAUAUUCAUCCAAAGUUUAAGAUGGUCGGGCAAUUUCUUCGGCGGUUUAACGAGGAAAGGUGCAAGGCCAUUGGAGAAGAGGUGGCCCGGCUCUUGGCGGCCGGGUUCAUUGUUGAAGUUUUUCACCCAGAGUGGUUGGCUAACUCGGUGCUUGUGCUUAAAAAGAACGGCACCUGGCGCAUGUGUGUGGAUUACACAAAUUUAAACAAGGCUCGUCCAGCUGAUCCUUUUGCUCUCCCUCGUAUUGAUCAAAUCAUUGAUGCUACGGAGGGUUGUGAGCGUUUGAGUUUUCUGGAUGCUUAUUCGGGUUAUCAUCAGAUCAAGAUGGCAGUUAAGGACCAGGAGAAAACAGCUUUCAUCACUCCGUUUGGAGCCUUCUGCUAUGUGUCUAUGCCUUUUGGGCUCAAGAGUGCCCACGCGACUUAUCAGCGGUGUGUACAAAAUUGCCUUCAUAAUCAGAUUGGGUGUAAUGUUCAUGCUUAUGUGGAUGAUAUAGUGGUGAAAUCCAGAGAGAAGGAAACCUUAGUAGCUGAUCUAAAGGAAACCUUUGGUAACCUCCGGGUCUACAAGAUGAUGCUUAACCCGGCCAAGUGUGUUUUUGGAGUCCCAGCUGGCAAGCUCUUGGGUUUUUUGGUGUCUAAUGGAGGCAUUGAGGCUAACUCGGAGAAAAUAAAGGCAACCACGUCUUUGGCUAAACCGGCAUGCAUCAAUGACGUUCAGCGGCUGGCGGGCCGUGUCGCAGCUUUAAGCCGGUUUAUAAGUCGGUUGGGCGAGAAGGCUAUGCCAUUGUAUCAAAUGAUGAAAAAGGUGGAUGACUUUGUAUGGAGUGACGCUGCUGAUUCCGCUUUUGAAGGUUUGAAAAGACAGCUUGCUGGGCCACCUAUUCUUGCUGCCCCCGUUGAGAAGGAGCCGCUAUUGUUAUAUGUGGCUGCUAACUCACAAGCCGUCGGCAUGGCCAUUAUUGUGGAGCGCAAGGAGGUUGGCAAGGAACAUCCAGUUCAAUGGCCGGUUUACUACGUCAGUGAGGUGCUCAUUGGAUCCAAGAAAAGAUACCCACAUUAGCAAAAACUUGUUUAUGGGGUGUUCAUGGCAAGCCGGAAGCUUAAGCAUUACUUCCAGGGUCAUCCUAUCACUGUGGUUAGCUCUGCUCCUUUAGGAGAUAUUAUUUAGAACAGAGAAGCCACAGGACGAGUCGCCAAGUGGGCCAUUGAGCUUGGGGUCUCAUAAUAUAAAGUAUGUGCCACGUACGGCUAUUAAGUCUCAAGCACUGGUGGACUUCAUUAAUGAUUGGACGGAGUUACAGACACCUGAAGAGAAGCCAGACAACACAUAUUGGACGAUUCAUUUCGAUGGGUCCAGGCAGUUGGAAGGCUCGGGGGCUGGAGUUGUGUUAACUUCUCCUCGAGGUGACAAGUUUUGUUAUGUGUUGCGAUUGAUGUUUCCUUGUACUAACAAUGCAGCAGAAUAUGGGGCCUUGCUCCAUGGUCUUCGAAUGGCUAAAGAGAUGAGUUUAAGACGGGUACGGUGCCUUGGCGACUCAGAUUUGGUGGCUCGGCAGGUGUCAGGCAAGUGGGAUUCCAAGGACCCUCUCAUGGCGGCUUAUCGCCGGGAAGUUGAUGAUGUUGUUGGACAUUUCAAAGGUUAUCAGGUGGAGCACAUUGACCGCAGAAAAAACAAAGCGGCUGAUGCUUUAAGCCGGUUGGGAUCACAGCGUAAGCUGGUGCCACCUAACACUUUUCUAGAUGUUCUUCAAAACCCUUCUGUCAAACUGCCUACAGAGGAAGAUUUGGUCAUUCCAGACCCGGAGGCACAGUUAGUAGCGGCUCUUCAUGUUAUUCCAGAUUGGACAUUACCGUAUUUGGCUUACAUGACCCGGGGUGAGUUGCCAGAGGAUGAGACCUUGGCUCGACAGAUAACCCGACGGUCUAAGUCAAUGACAAUUUCCAAUGGUGAGUUGUAUCAUCGCAGCGUCACUGGAGUGUUUCAACGUUGUGUCUCUCCCGAAGAAGGUCAAGAAAUUCUUCGUGAGAUCCAUGAAGGGGAUUGUGGUCAUCACGCUGGUUCAAAGUCUCUUGUGGCUAAAGCUUUUCGUCAUUGUUUUUACUGGCUAACGGCUCACGCUGAUGCAGAGGAUCUGGUCAGUAGGUGUGAUGGGUGUCAAAAAUUUGCACGACGAGCGCACGUGCCGGCUUAAGAAUUGCGGAUGAUUCCAAUCACUUGGCCGUUUGCAGUCUGGGGGCUUGACAUGGUUGGACCUUUUAAAAGAUCCAAGGAUAAAAAGACACAUCUUUUGGUGGUAGUUCACAAAUUUACAAAAUGGGUUGAGGCAGAGCCGGUUAGUAAGUGUGAUGCAGCCACGAUGGUUCAGUUCAUGAAAAAGGUGAUCUUUCGUUUUGGCUUUCCACAUAGCAUUAUAACUGACAAUGGUACUAAUCUGUCCAAAGGCAACAUGGAGGAGUUUUGUCAAUGUGAGCAUAUCCGGCUUGAUGUUUUGUCUGUAGCUCACCCCCAAUCCAAUGGUCAAGCUGAGAGAGCAAAUCAGGAAAUCCUAAAAGGUCUCAAGCCCGACUUAUGGUUCGUUUACAACGGACGCCGGGUUGUUGGGUGGAGGAAUUACCCUCGGUGCUGUGGAGUAUCAAUACCACUCCUAACAGAUCUACAGGUUAUACACCUUUCUUCAUGGUUUAUGGAGCAGAAGCAGUUCUGCCUAGUGACAUCCGUCAUGACUCACCUCGCGUGGCGGCCUAUGUUGAAGCUGAUAAUGAACAAGCCCGACAGGAUGCACUUGACUUGUUAGAUGAGGAGAGAGAUUUGGCAGUGGCUCAAUCAGCAAUUUAUCAACAAGACUUGCGCCGUUAUCACAGCCGCCGGGUUAAGUCCAGAACCUUUCAAGAAGGUGACCUAGUGCUCCGGCUCAUCCAGGAUCUGUCUGAUGCACACAAGCUAUCCCCGCCUUGGGAAGGACCCUUUGUGGUCAACAAGAACUUAAACAAUGGGUCAUAUUACCUCAUUGAUGUUCGAGAGCACAAAGACCCACGUAAGUCGGAGGAGGAGACCCGCCGGCCGUGGAACAUCGCUCAGCUUCGGCCAUACUACACUUAAACCAUCGGCUCUCAUCAUGUACAUACUUUGACGUUGUAUAUAAUAUGAUAAGUAAUAAAGCAGGACCUCUGUCCUUUUUCCCCUUCAAUGAUCAUAUAUCUUUAUUAUUUUCAUUAUUUAAAAUGACCAUUAGGGGGCUGAUCGUAUCCGAAUCUAGCUUAACCCUUUUGGUCCGGCUCAUGAUCGUAUUCGAAUCUAGCCGUAAAACUCAUGGUCACUUGGGGGCUUCCUGUUCAAACAUAGGUCGUAUUCGAACCAAAGAGAACAUAGCUGUCGUAACCCUCUUGAUCGGCUCAAAGCCAAACUCACUAGGGGGCUUCUUGAUCGUAUCUGAAUCAUAGCUUAACCCCUUUUUGGGUCCAACUUGGAUCGUAUUCGAAUCAGGGUCGUUAAAAACCUCUCAAGGUCAUUUGGGGGCUUCCUAUUCAAACAUAGGUCGUAUUCGAACCAAAGAGAACAUAGCUGUCGGUACCCUCUUGAUCGGCGCAACGCCAAAGCCACUGGGGGCUAUAUGAUCGUAUCCGAAUCUUAGCUUAACCCCUUUGGUCCGGUUUACUGAUCGUAUUCGAAUUAGAAGCCUCCAGUUUUUAUUUAAAUGUUUGAUUUACAUUGUCUGAAGCCUAGUGUUUUAUCUUACUAUUUUUAUCGUCUCAAAUCUAACUGUUAGUAUGGUUUCAAAUUAAACCGGCUUGGCUAUUUGACAAUGUGUCGCCAAGGCAUAACAGUCAUCAGACAUAUGGAAGUAUUGACUUCUAAAAAAGAUUGGGUUAUCAACCUCAUCAUCCGGGUCAUGUAAACCGACAGUCCAUGUUCAAAAACCACAGGUAUGACAGUGUCAUUCAUGAACAGACUUCCCUGGGUUUUUCGUCAGUCAAAGGAUUUUUCAGCCUUGUUUAUCUUACAUCUGGUUCUAUUUUUUCCACUAUGAUAAUUUCAUAAUCAUGUACCGGGUGUUUUGACCCGUCCGGUGCUAAGCCACCGGGACAGUUUUUUUCAUCUUUUACAGGAACAGAGUUAAAACAUUACAGAUGUAACCACGAUGUAAUGCAUAUAUAUAUUGACAUCAUGGGCAAAGAGUCAUAUGAAACAUCUUAUGCACGAUGGCAUAGGCAAAAUAUGCAAUUUUCAAACUAACCUAUUACAAGGCAUUGAGAGCCCAAAAGGUUAAACGGUUUUCUCUCUUAAGCAGGUCUUAAGCUAAAAACUGGAUUGUUCAGAUGGUUAUGACUCCUCCCUGGCCGUUUCACCUCCCUCCACUGGUUGGAAGCUGGGAUUGGACCAGUCAAAGCCGUUCAGAGCAAUGAACUCAGCCUCAUCGUCAAUUAGGCCGGCCGGGUCAAUUUGCAGGGCAAAAGUGUGUUGACGAACCGGCGGGAUAAGAUCCAUCACUUUAUAAGAGGGAGUCGCCAUCUUUUUAUUCUCCAUAUCAAAACCCGACUGAUAUUUUUCGAUGUUGGUCUCCUCACCAAGAAUGGUAGCCUGAGGACGAACUCCCCUCACACAAGCAAUAAAGUCAUCUUGCUCAAACGGAGUCCCGUCUUCCUUCAUGGUAGGGUACCCCUUAGCCACGUCCACCGGGUGUAAAUCGGGCACCCAGGCUUUGGAGCGGCUCAGGGCAGUCAGGGCUCCGACUCUGGCACAAGAUCGUUUGACCUCUUGAAAUCUGGCGGGUAAGAUCGAUAACUUCUUCAAAACAUCACUUAAACGGUUGGGUCCUUGGUUGGCAGGGGAUAUAUAUAGUAGAAAGUGCUCGUUGAGCACCAGUGUACAGUUGCUCCACCAAGGUAUAAACCGCCUUCAGUUUUGUCACACUAUCUUGACUCAGAUAUUUUACUUCGUGGACCUGUGAGUACUUUUUAACAAAGGCUCAGCAGGCGGCUUAUAUUUCUGGUUAAAAUAAAGUAUAAGUGACUAAUGCAAAUGACUUACCAAAGAUGGCGGAGACCAUUUGAUACACACGGUUUUUUAAGCCGGUGAGCUCCAUGGUAACCUCCUCAAGAGUCGCCUCUGCUGUCUUGGCACGUUGUGUCAGCAAGGUCUUCUCAUCGGCCCAGGAUUUCUUCUUCUCAGUCACACUGGUCUUCAAUUUUUCAGUUUUAGAGAGACUCAAUUGGAGUUUGGAGUUAGCAGUCUUUAUCUCCGCUUCUUGAUCCGCCAGCCGGGUCUUUGCAUCCGUCAAUUGAGAUCCCAAUUCAGUUAGGGCGGUCUACAAACAUGCAUAGGUGUGUCAAAAUUUAAACACAAGUUAUAUUGAUUAAAGUCGCGAGUGCUUUGCAACGCAACACCACUUGGCACUUGGGGGCUAAUGUCUGCCAAAGCAAUUUUAUGCAAAAUGACUCUUCUAUGUUUCAAGUCCCAAGUGUUUUACAAAGUAACAACGCUUGGCACUUGGGGGCUAAUGCAUGAUAUUCAGAAAGUUUUUCAAGAUGAGCCGGAUCACACUACUUAUUUGGACUAAUCUAAGACAGUUAUGAAGUUAAGUACCGGGUCAUUUAUGAUAAAUUGAGCCGGCCCUUGGGGACUACAUGUGAAGUUUAUACUAAUCCGUUGAACUUAGGAAAAAUCUAAAGACAAGGUAUCAACCUAUAUCAUAAGUCUACAGAUCAUUCAGGUUCAUCAUAAUCUGAAGACUUGGGGGCUGGCAGAGUAUAUAUAAACCGGAGAACGUACCUCAUAUUCUGUAACAUCCCAAAUUUUCAAUUUGGAAUGUUACACGUUAGGUCAUCAUGCAUAUCAUAUUUUAUUUUUCUUUUGGUUUUGAUCCUAGAAAAUCCUAAGCAACUCAAGGACCCACGGAGAGAGUUGGGGAUUUCAUUAUUUACAUAUUUGAGUUUUCUCAAAUUAUGUAAACAGGAUCAUUUGAUUUUAUUUAUUCUAUCAUCAAUUAUUUCUAUUACAAAAAUAUGAGAGAGGGAAUAAAAUGACUUUUCCAAAAUAUAGAAAUAUUGAGGAUUUAAUAAAAAAUCAAAUAAGUUUUAUUUCGGAGUUUUUUGGUAUUUUUAUUUGAAUUUAGGAAAAAUGCGCGUUUUUCAAAUUGUAGUUUGGGCCCAGAUAAAUGUUCACUUUAUCGGGCUUGAUUUUAGGAACCCGGCAAAAUUUAUUUCGUGAUUUUUGGAGUCCGUUUAGUAUUUCUUUUUAUUUUUCUUCCGAGCGGAUUUAAAAAAAAACUAGAACCGACUCCGUGCCGUAACCGGCCAGGAAACCUCCGCCCGGGGCCUUUAUAUAGCGCCCGAACCGGCCGAGAGAGAGAGAGAGGCCCGAAGCCAGCUAACCCUAACCCUAGCUAAGCCGCCGCCGCCUCCCAGCCGUCGCCGCCCGCCGCUGCCGACUCGCCGGAGCGCGCGCCUUUCGAGGUUCGCCGCCGCCUCGUUUUCCGUGAAGUUUUUUUUUAAAAAAAAAAUCUGUUCGUCGUUUUUCUUUUUCGUCGGAUUUUCCGCGGUUAUUUUCUGAUCGCGAUUUCUGAUCCGGUUUUCGUUUUAGUAUAACUUUUCGCUCGUUUAUCGGAAUCAGGCGAUUCAAGCGCCUGGAGUUUCGUCUCGAAACCCUCUUUCCGAAUAAUCAACUUAAACAAGUUUUUGCUACUGUAAAAUUUGCCCUAGAUCCAGAUUACUAGAAGGAAGUUGUUUUUUUUGCCGUUUGAUUUCUUUCGCUUCGUUCGAUUUGAUUCUUUUGCCAACCAGGGUUCUUAAGUUGAACUUUCUGGUUAGAUCUUCUAUUUGAGUUUUACUUGUGCAUUAGAUGAGUACUUAUUGUAUGCUUGAUGUUUGUCUGUGAUAGAAUACCCGGAGUGCGCCGCCUGUUACUUCGAAUCUCUAGGUUUCGCGGAUCAUCAGCAAGGCAAGUAACACUUUGAUCAUACCUUUUCUACAACCCAGUUUUAUUGCAUUAGAUCAAUCCUCACACAUUGCAUGAUUAGGAUCUAAUUAAAUUGUGGGAUGGGAAGUAGAUGAGGUAGUACCUAUUACCUGUUUAUUAUCAAACCUUUGGGAGUUACUUCUACGUUUGCUUAUGCCAUGUUAUGCCGGUAGACGUGGAUUGGGUGAGUGAUAUCCAUGACAGAUGUGAGAUUUAUAAUUAAGGGUUAUCUAAGGUGGCAACCUAACACACAUCUGGGUGGAUUGAGGCACCUGGGGUUACCAGGACUUGCCUGUUUUCUUUUGGACCGCCACCCAGGCCCAAAGGGAUCAUGAGAUUUUUCAUACUAGAAACUUCCGUGUGCAGCCACAAGCCAUUAUGGGCUCUGGCAUAGUUGACUAAGUUGUGCGAACUCUUACAGUGGUAGACUAGCAGAUGUAGGGGAAAGUAGGUGUACCGGUCUACCCGUCGUAAGGUGCUAGCGCUUCUGAAAGACUGUGUCUCGGUCAUCCGUUUCUCAAACACCUUGUAGUGCGAGAAACCAAACGGAGGUGAUCGAGUCUUGUGGGGAAAAGUGCGCAAACCUCUGCAGAGUGUAACAAACUAAUCAUGGUUAGCCGUGUCCCUGAUUAUGGACAUCUUGAGUAUCUAUUACCUGGAUUAUCAUGUGAAUCUCAACAUGUUACUCUAAAAUUAAUUUUGUGGGAUUUUAAUGAUGUUACUUAAUUGGGAUUGAGGAUGCUGUCAACCAUUCUCAAUGUUUAACAACCACCAUGAUAGUAAUUAAUUUUAUUCCUUUGAAGUAGGGAAAAAUUGGCUUUACGCAAAAACUGUAACCAUAGAGCUUUCCACCAGCCAAAUAUGCAUAUAGUAUAGUUGUUGCAUUCCAUUACUCUCUAUGUGUUACCUUGCCAGCAUAUUCCAUGUGCUGACCCGUUUCGGGCUGCAACGUUAAUGUUGCAGACUUUUCAGAUGACGAUUGAGGAAUUUUAGGUCGUGGUUCUAUACUCAGUGAUGCCGUUGGAGUUGAUGGACUCACUUAUCUUCCAAGCCUUCCGCUGUUAUCGUUAUUAGAUGGCCUUAAGCCAUAUUUAUUGUAAUAAGUUCUCUUUUGAGACACUCGAUGUAAUAAGUGUGUGAUUGCUACUCUGCUAUAAAUCCUCCGAGUACUGUGUGGUGUCAGCAUUACUGAUCCAAGGAUGACAUCGGAGCACAGAGAUCAGACUGUUUAAGGUCUGGUCGCUACAUAUUCCAGUUGCAAUUGCUUGACCAUCUCAAUUUCCGAGUCACGGCUGGAAUGCACAGGACUGAGAUAGCCGGACAGCAUGUCACUAACAUUCAGAUGAGCAUAGUGAGAGAUAUCAAAUUGUACUUUCUGUCUUUCCAAGGCCUCCUGUUUAGCAGAAUGCCUGGCCAGCACAGUCGGAUUACCCGGCGCAACAAAUCUGCUGCCAGUGAUCAAAACGUCAUGGUCAGAAGAUGCUGGCAGGUUAGCUGAACCGGACGGUCUGACGGUGGAUGGAUCGACAAUGGUUUCGUCAGCUGACGGCUCAGGAGGGUCCAAUUGAGCAUGGACAGCUAAAUCUUCUGGCGCUUCAGAUUGAGUGGGAGGAGUUGAUGUUGCCAGUUCAGGUGCAGGAUUUUUUGGGUCCUCUGCCGGUUUAAUCACCUUGGCUUUCUUGGACUUUGCUUGACCGCUAAGAAAGAUUUUUAUGAAAUAGUUAGUAUAAUGAUGCAGUUUUAAAAAUGUAGAGGAAAGAUGAUUUUCCUUACCCAUGGGCAGUCUUGAAAGCCGGAAAUUGAGUUUGGGAUGAGUCGCCAGAAGAGCGAGAGACCUCCUGCAAAGGUAAAAUAAAGUUAAGAAUAUAAGGAAAUAAAUUCAUGGAUAAAAACAAAGGACAAAGGUGAAAGAAACCUCAUUCUGGCGUUUUUGAGGAGUUUUUUCUAAGUCGAAAGGUGGUUCAUCAUCAUCAUUAGUCCGGGCCAGAUGGCGGCUCUCAUGUUGCUGCUUUUUCAAAAGAAAAUGAGGGUCCAAAUAAGCCAAAGGGUGCAAAAACCUUACUUUCCGGGUUACCAGUCGAAGUUUCUGUCUCGGCAAAGGGGCUGAGUCGUAGGAAAUAGUUACCUCUUCUUCCGCGGCCUGGCUGGCCCCCGUGUCAUCCUGGCAAUAGUCAGUGUCAAUAAGAUAGUUGAAAAUUUGGCCAAGGGAGAAAGGGCUACCUCCGACUCAGAAACAUCAUCAAGCUGGAAGAUGUCAGAUGCAGUCUUCUUCUUGGGCUUCCGGGUCGUUCUCUUGGCGGCUACGGCAGCGGAUCUAGCCUUCUUGGUAGCUUCAUGAUCAUACUUGGCCUUCCAGAAGUCAGAUUUGUCCUGUAAACAAAUAAAGAGGUUAAAAGGUCAUGCAAGUAUUUAAACUACUGAGGUAAACACAAAAAGAGAAAAAGGUCAAGAAGUUACCUCUGGUGUCGGGUUAAGUUUGCAGAAGGGGUUUAAUCCAACCUUGCUGUAGUCCUCGUAUUUGCCAUUCACGAGGAUGGUAGACAUUGCAACAAUGUCUUCUUCAGUUAAUUGUACAGAGCUAUAACGCAGAGAAUCAUUUGGGCCUCCGCCAUACUUAUACAUCAACUUGGAUCGGCGGCUUAGAGGGAUGACCCGCCAUGAGAUCCAGCAAUGGAUCAGGUCAACUCCGGUUAAGCCAUUUCCCAAUAAAGCUUGAAUCCUUUUGACAGAUGGGAUAAGCUUCUUGCGUUCAGCAGUAGUAAGCUUGUCAGGGAGCACAAACUUGGAAUCAAGACGCUCUUCACGAUAACCCGGCAGUGGUUUUUCAUCAGCCGGUGAUGUAUCUUGGCAGUAGAACCAGGUUUGCUUCCAGUCUUUGGGAUGGCUCGGUAAGACCACUAAAGGAAAAACGGCACCUUGUCAGCGUUGAAUUGAAAUUCUGCCAAGUUCCAAGCUAAGGCCGUUGGUGCACUCAUUCUGGCGGUUCAAGUAAAAGUACUCUCUAAAGAGCUCCACAGUUGGUUCUUCUUGAAGAUAUACCUCACAAAGAACUUGAAAAUUGCAGAUGUUGGAUAUAGGGUUGGGUCCAAUAUCUUGUGGAUGAAGCUUGAAAAAAUGCAGGACAUCUUGGACGAACUUUGAGCCGGGUGGUGAGAAGCCCCGGUUCAUGUGAUCUGUGAAAACGAUAACUUCGCCGUCUUUGGACUAAGGUCGUUCUUCGUCCGGGUCAGGAGCACGAUAAGACAUAACGCUUUUCUCUGGCAAAAAUCCAAUGGUGACAAAUUAUUUCAAGGUAUCUUCAGUAACUGUGGAAGGCACCCGGUUGCAGACAGUUGGCGCUUUUGACGGCAUGAUGAAGAAAGGGCAAGCUGAAAAGAAAGUAAUUUGCCGGUUCAAUUUAUUGGUGGAGUUACAGGUUCAUGAUUAUAGUACAGAUGAGUAAUGGCGGCUUAAGUAAGGGCUAAUGACAUGUAAAGGAAAAAUAAGCCGGAGUCAUAAGCCGCCAUGACUAAAAAGUAUUUGAAGGUUGCCAGAAUCAAAAUUGACUAAAGUGUUGAGACAAACAGGUUUCCCAAGUUGUGGCUAUUAUUAUGGAUCAAAAUGGUUCAGAAAAUAAAAAUAAAGUUAGACCUAGAAAACGAGCACAGAGGAGUUUGUCAGCUCUAAAGAGGCAUUUAUACAGGAGAAGGGGAUCUGUUAGCUUCAAAAAUGGAUGAGAAAUAGCUACCUCAUAAGUUUUGUACUACUUUUAGAUCAAAAGAGGGUGCGGUAAGAGAAGUUGCAACGAAUCUAUGACGAACAACGAAGAACACAAGAAGGAAACCUCCCGAACCCUAAUGCAGAUCUAUGGGGGUGAGAAGGUGAGAGCUUACAGGUGCGGAGCUGCUGCGGAGGAUCGCCACCGUUCUCUGGAUAGACUCAGGGUGAUGCUGCGGCCAGAGUUGAGGACGACGGUGCGCUACGGUGGCGACGGAGCUCGAGCGGCAAAGAAGGUGCGAGAGGAAGAAGAAAGAGGAAGGACUGGCCGAGCCUAUUUAUAAGGGGGUAAGUGAACGGGCAGACGCAAAAAUUGAGGAAGACCAAAGUAAUGAUUAUCCAGCUAAAUGGACGCCUCGAUCUUCGGAAAACAUUUAAGAUAAGGAUCCGUUGAAGAUGAAAUCGUGGUGUUUUUCCAAAUUUUUUCAAUCCUAAUGGUUGGUUAAUAAAAUAAGCUCAGUGAAUAUACAAGGCGAUAGUUUAUUAUAAGACUUGUAGUAGGCCCAAGCCCAAAGGCGGUUUAAGGCCCAUAAUUGUAAACCGCCAUGUAUAAGAAAGACUUGUAAAGAAAGGCAUGUAAGAGAAGUCACCGAGCCGAACACGUUAUAUGAGCCGGCCGGGACUCUGUAGGCUGCCAGGCGUCAACCCAUGUAUAUAAGGGGAUGACCCGGUGGCUGCUUAGGACAAGUAACAUCAAAUCAAGAGCCAUGCAUAGCGUAUUUGCUCCCUGAUCAUCGAAACCUAGCAAUAUCACAUCAACUGGACUAGGCUUUACCUUCACCGUAAGGGGCCGAACCAGUAUAAACCUUUCGUGUCCUUUGUCCCGAUUAACCCCUUUAAGCUUCCUAGUUGCGAUGGCUCCACGGCUAAGUCCUUUCACUAGGACAUCAUCCGUGACAAUUCCACGACAACUCUGGUGCGGAUCUUACUAUGGUUGACCUACGAGGUUCAGCGGUAACUUGAUCUGAAGUUUCAUGAUCAUCAUCAUUAGCUUCCUCACUAAUUGGUGUAGGAAUCACUGGAACUAAUUUCUGUGAUGAACUACUUACCAAUUCGGGAGCAGGUACAAUUGCCUCAUCAAGUUCUACUUUCCUCCCACUCACUUCUUUCGAGAGAAAGUCCUUCUCUAGAAAGGAUCCUUUCUUAGCAACGAAUAUAUUGCCUUCGGAUCUGUGAUAGAAGGUGUACCCAACAGUCUCCUUUGGGUAUCCUAUGAAGACACAUUUCUAUGAUUUGGGUUCGAGCUUAUCAGGUUGAAGCUUUUUCACAUAAGCAUCACAGCCCCAAACUUUAAGAAACGACAACUUAGGUUUCUUGCCAAACCACAGUUCAUAUGGUAUCAUCUCAACGGAUUUAGAUGGUGCCCUAUUUAAAGUGAAUGCAGUCUGAAAGUGCGUUAUAUCGACUAGAGGGGGGGUGAAUAGGCGAUUUUUAUGAAAGUCUUCAAAACAUGGAAGUUUCGAAGACAAACGAUAGAAAUAAACCUAUUACCAUGCAGUGGAAGUUAGACUACACUAGAUAAACCGUAGUCAUGUAUUCAAUGAAGUGAAAGGACAAUGACUAAUAGUAGCUAGGUAGUAAGGAUCAGGCAGGAAGAUAUUAAGAAGCCAAACGGAUCACACAGUCACUCAGUGAAGACAAAAGAUAGAGAAAACAUACAAUGACUUCACACAGAGUAACAGUAAGUAAAGAGAAGGGAAGGAUGAAACCAGUGACUCGUUGAAGACAAAGAUUUGUUGGACCAGUUCCAGUUGCUGUGACAACUGUACGUCUGGUUAGGGCGGCUAGGUAUUUAAACCAAAGGACACACAGUCCCGGACACCCAGUCCUGAACACGCAGCUCAGGACAUCCAGUCCUCACCGUAUUCCCCUUGAGCUAAGGUCACACAGACCUCGCCCAAUCACUCUGGUAAGUCUUCAAGGUAGACUCCCAAACCUUCACAGACUUCGUUCACCGGCAAUCCACAAUGUCUCUUGGAUGCUCAGAACGCGAUGCCUAACCAGCUGGAGGAUGCACAGUCCUCAAGUGUAAUAAGUCUUCAGAUCACUCAGACAAGAAGACUUAAGUGAUGCCUAAUUCUCUUUCGCUCUGGGUGGUUAGGGCUUUAUCCUCGCAAGGAAUUCUCUCUCAAAGGCUUCGAGGUGGGUUGCUCUCAAACGACAAAAGCCGUACUUUGAAUCUGAGUAGCCAACCGUUUAUGGUUGUAGGGGGUGGGCUAUUUAUAGCCACUAGGCAACCCGACCUGAUUUGUCCGAAAUGACCCUGGGUCACUAAGGAACUAACAUGUGUUCCAACGGUCAAAUUUCAAACUCACACGGAAACUUUACUUGGGCUACAAGCAAAGCUGACUUGUCCGACUCUGGACAAGAUUUUCUCUCAUAGUCUUCACUCGAAGACAUAGGUUUUUGUUUAAGCAUCACUUUAGUCAUUCUGACUGGCUCUCUUGGACCCCACUUAACAGUAUGUUGGUUCCUAUGACUCAACACAGAAGAAAAAGAACUACGAAAAAUCUAAGUGUUCAAGCUCCAUAGGCUUCAUGCGGUGUCUUCUCUUGUCAUAGUCUUCAAUGUGAAUAUCUUCAUAUACCACCUUUGACAUCAAUGUCUUCAUACACUUUUAGGGGUCAUCUCUGGUGGGAAAACCGAAUCAAUGAGGUACUUCUACCUGUGUUAUCCUGCAAUUCUCACAAACACAUUAGUCCCUCAACUAGGUUUGUCGUCAAUACUCCAAAACCAACUAGGGGUGGCACUAGAUGCACUUACAAUCUCCCCCCUUUUGGUGAUUGAUGACAAACUAGUUGAAGUUUUCAACGGGGAAUAUAAUGUGUGAAAUUGUAAAGGAUAAGGAAUUGUCUUCAUAAGUUACAAGGGCUCCCCCUGAAGAUGUGCAUAUAAGUAAUUUGCUUUUGGAAUGCAAAUGCACAUGGCAGGUUGUGCUUGUGGAGAUCCACUUCAACUUAUGAUGACAAUCCACUAUGCAUGUGAAAGUAUGUGAAGAUAAUGACAUGCAUAAUGGAAAAUGGAUGUCUGCAGAAUGAUCUAAGUGCGGAAUCUAUCAUCGCACAUGCGGAAUUUAUCAUCACAACACAAGGUAGCAAAUAGGUAGCAGACGACCAUCAAGUUUAAGUGUUACAACUCAAAGAACCAAAUGUUUCAAAACGAGAGUUGUAAGCACGAAGCAAAAUAUAAAACACCCGCCCAUAUGGACCCAUUUGAAGACUAUCAAACUCAUAUGCUUCUCCCCCUUUUGACAGUAAGGACCAAAAAGGUUUGAAGACAUAGAGCCUCUACUCGUUCCCAUGAGGAGUAGGUGAAGCAGCAGGAUCGUUGAUGGUGUUUGGCAGUGCAGACGAGCUUGGAGCAGUGUCGACGUGUGCUGAAGGAGGCGGCGAAGAAGUAGCAUCGUCUUCAUCCUCGAUCACUCUGGCAUUCACGGUUGCAGUAGAGGAAGAGAACUCAGGGUCUUCAAGUGAUGGAGUUCGUCGCAGCACAGCCCUGCGAGGAGGUGUGGAGUCAAACUUGAAGCGCUCAGUGAAGCCAUCCUCUUGCAGAUCAUCUUCAGAACACAGCAGCGUCAGCCCUUUCCAUGUGCGUCGAGAUGUUUCAUGAGCAACAAAGGCGUUCUUGGUGGCAAGAUUGUGAAUGCGAUUAACAUCCACCAAGAGGCUUUGCAUUUGACGCUUUAGCCAGUCAUGAUGCCUAUCCUGUUUCUGAUGAAGGGCCACCAGAAGCUCUCGGUCAUUGAGGACACGAGUGCGCUUCUUGGGUCGUUGAGCAAUGGUGCUAUCAGUGGCUUCAGUAAGAGCAGGAUGCGGGGCACGGGUAGUGCCAGCCAAAGGAUACACACGUGUUACUGCUUCAAUGCCUUCAACGUUCCGAGAGAAACUUUGAUGCUCUGCAUUCUGAAGACUUAGAGGUUCCUUGGCAGGCUCAGGAUAUAUGGCUUCAAUAGACAUAUCCACAUCAGGCAAAAAGAUCCGAUGAUUGCGGGCAGAUGGCUGAUAUGAGAUAGCAGAGUGAAGUUUGAUCAGCCGCAUCACCCAAGGGGCGUAGAACUUCAACCCAAAUAGAUCAGAGCCAGAUGCAGCAAGUUGGCGAAUGAAGAAAUCCUAUGUAUUGAAGCAUUUUCCAUGAAGAAUAUAGAAGACCAAAGUCUUCAUUGCACCUUCCAGCUGGGCAUGGGGAGAAUGUCCUUUGAUUGGCCAGAGAGUUCGCCUUAUGAUAUGAUAAAUGGUCCUUGGCAGAUACUCAAGGUCUUCAACAAAGAACUCCGUGGGAUAAGCAGCAUCUUGGGGCAAUGGCUUCAUCAUACUGAGCAUCUGACUCAUAUUGGGUUCAGUCUUCUGAAAGAUGCUCUCAACAGCUUCAAUGUGAAGCUGACAGCCAUGCUCAUAGAGAUCGCCAGGAGUGGGCAAGCCAGUGAGCUCAAUGAUGUCAAAGACUUUGGCUUCGUGAUGAACAUUUCCAGUCAUCCACUCUAGGACCCAAGUCUUUGGAUCUCUGUUAUACCCGCGGAUGUGAAGUGUGGCAUAGAACUGGAGCAGCAACUCUUCAUUCCAAUGCUCUUGGUCAGUGACGAAUGGUAGCAGCCCAACUUCAUUGAAGCAAUCCAAAGCUUCUUCCAGACAGGCAGACCAGCUAUAGCUUCAAUGUCAAGGCGCUUGUGUGGGAAGAUGCGACCUUUGUUGUAAAGAAUGCAUGAGUAAUAGCUUCGCUGCUGAUAGCUCCAGAACCGAUCAGAUGAUAUUCUUUCCCUGGAGUAGGGGUUCCUGGAGCUAUUGAAGAAUGUGUUGUCUGCUCUGAAGCCAUUGAUGUUAAAGGAGCCAGGUGCUAAUGCAGGACCUGGGAACCUGGGCAAUCUUGGGAUUGGCUUCUGGACCUGAGGCCUGUGCUCAACAUGAUAGUCGAAUUGGGGACCGGCAGCAGACGCAGGAACAGGAGCAGCAGGAUUAGUGGCUUCGCUGACUUCUGGUGCUGUUGGGGGUGAGGGCUCCACAUUAGCUUCAGCCAUGACGGUGUCAGUGGCUUCAGUGGUGUUGGUGGUGGCAGCCUCUAGAUUUUCAACCUCCACUUGACGAGCUGGAGGGUCGGUCAUGAUCACGUUCUCCUCGAGAACCGCUUCUUGGUGGGGCAGGGGAGUAGCAGCUUGUGGAACUUCUUCUUCCGUGGCUGAUGCAGCUAGAUUGUCUUCAGCAGAGACUUGAGGCCUUGGACCUUUGUGAAGCCUGCGCAACGCGGGCGAUGCCUGUGGAGCUGGAGUGGGCUGGGCCUCAUAGUCUUCUUCCUCUUGUUGGCGAUCCGCCCAUGAAGCAUCCUGUGCCAUUGGCGUCAGUGGACGACCAAUGCUGAUGAGUUCGUUGUUUUCAAGCUGAGGAAGAACUGCACCAUCUUCUACAUGGUCAUGUUGACCAAUGUCUUCAGCAGUGAUGGGAUCAGCUGUUGGAAAGUCUUUAGCUUUAUGAGCCUCUGUGGAAGCAGGCUCAUGGAUUGUCAGUUGGCGUUCAGCUUCAGGAUAGACCAUUGAAAUAGGUUCAACUAUCAAAGGCUCUGUGGGAGCAGCCUGUUCCUUCUUGGUCUUUCGUUUCUUCUUGGAGGGGGCAGUAGGAGAGGCUUCAGGAUGUUUCCUCUUCCUGGCUUCAGCCUCAGCAGUCCUUGUCUUCUUGAGCUCUGAAGCGGUUGACCGGCUUUUUGGCUUCAAGCCAGUCAGUCUAGUUGGGAAGACAAUCGGAACUGCUUCCUGCCUUGGUGCGUCGGAUUCAGCCGUAGCAGUCUUCUUCUUCUUCUUUGCGGCCAUCCUAGGGUCAAUGCCAGGACGCCCAAGGGCCUUGCGCUUCUCAGCCUCAUUGUAGGCUUGCACACAUCUGUCAGCCAGAGCCUUCAUGCGCUCACGUGAAUCCCGAGCUUCUGCACAUUUCUUCAGAAAGGCUUCCUUGAGCUCGUGCAUCAUGAUCUUGAAGUUCUUCACUUCUUGCACACUGAGCUUGGCCAUAUGCUUCUUGAACUGAGCCUUUUCAUAGUCAAUCUUCUGCUUUAGUUCAACAACGUGUCGGGCGAUGGCUAGCUCUGAAGCAAUGGCGCCUUGGAAGGCGACACUGAGGCCAAUGGGUAGCUGCAGAUCAUCAAAGCUGAUGUUUGGCAUAUCAAACCACUCGUCAAUGAAGUUGUGGAUGAUGGUUACAUCAAAGAGAGGCAGAUCAUUGAAGAUUUCGGCUUCUUCUUUGCUCUUGAUGAGUUGCUCAAGAGCGUCAUCUGCAAGAUCUUCAUCACUUGACAGAUCAAUGUCAUCAUUGCGCAGAAUGGCAGCAGCUGUUAGCUCUUGGCCGGUGUGUGGCAGAGGCAUCUUGGCCUUCUAGGGCUUGGAGAUGCGUGAUAAAUCUUCGGACUGCACACUGUCUUCAGGAGAUGCAGUUGCCAGUGGCUUCGCCCUUGAGAUUUUUGGUGAAGGGGCAGGCUUUGAAGCUUUGGGCUUCUUCAACUUCUUUGGUGUUGGCGCUGCAGGCGCUUCAUCUGAUUCAGCGUUAGCUGCAGGCUCAUUCACGGUUGUCCCUUGAACCAAGAUAUGGGUGAUGAGUCCUGCAAGGUUGUAGAAAGGACCGACGACAUUGGGUUCCGCAUCGCGUGUGCCGUCAGCCCUUGGAGCAGAAGGACCAGGGUUGAAGUCUAAUCCAAAAGACUUCUUGUUCUGCUUUGCUGAGUUCUUGGCAAACUGGAAGUUGCGCUUGAAUAGAUUGUCGUCACGGCACCAUAGUAGUGACGAUGGGUGUGCAUCUGCAGGCUGUGGCCCACGCACCAUGCAGGGAUAGAAGCCUUGUUCAAUGGCUUCUUCUCUGGACCUGGGUUGAAGAUUCUUGUAUAGGAUGUCUCCCCAUGGUCUCUUGAUGGCAUUUCUCUCAGCAUAUUCCUGGGUCACAAACCGGUAUUUGAACCAUUGUUCUGCCCAAUAUCUUCGAAUCCAUUGGAUUCGGGUCUUGCGCUGAUUAUAAUCCUGUUCAGGAUCUGUCUUGUAAAGCUCUGAGAGGUCAUCAGGAAAAUCUCUUGAUGUCCCCCCACGACGCUGUCUGCCACCCUUCCUUACUGAUUUCUCUGCAGCCAUGAACUUCAAACUGAAAGGCUUCAAAACGUUCAAAGGCUUCAAAGGUUUUCGCUUGCUGGACAAACAGGAACUGGCUUCGGGAGAAUUUAUAUGAUGCUGUAAGAAUUCUGCAAAUGAAUGCAGACUAUGAGAACCAAGGGAUUCUCCCAUGGACAUGUACCUGUGACAACAUUAAGGUGCAAGGGAAGGGGAAGAGGUCAUAUGCAUUCUCAGGAGAUUUUGAAGAUAAAUCAGUUUAGAAGACAUUGACCUCAUCGUGCGAAGACAUUCACUCAUAGAUAAGGAGUUGGUUCCAGAUUUGUACGAAUCCAGUGAUCAGUACAAGUGAGGAAUCUAACUACUUGUGAAGCAUAAGUGAAUAUACUAGGCAUGUUAUGAGAUGCAGUAGGAAAGAGAUCCAACUUGUGUGAAUAGAAACUUCUUAUGGUAGAAAGUGACAAAGCCAUAGGAUCAAAAGGGGCCGUAAAAAGAAGUUUUAUUUACCACACUUGGAACUGCUAGAUGGAGUGGAAGAGGAGGCCGAGCAGUUCGAUCUUCUGUGCCCUAACUUGGCGACGAAGGACACCUACGGCGACGGCGGAGAGGACGAUGUCCGCGGUCGGUGUGAAGACGGCGUCGGAGAGGUUGCGGCAGUGAAGCGCUUCGUCGCCGGCGUCGUCGAGGGCUAGCAGUGGCACUAGGGUUCGUGCGAGGGUGGAAGAAGAGAUGAUGACCGCUGUGAAGGGUGUAUUUAUAGGUACAGGGGCGGCACUGCGUUAUUACACAGGUGCCCCUGGCGAUUCACAUCUGAGGAACACGUGGCCAUCAUGCAGUAUAUUGGGGUUUGUUCCACGUCUCACGCACGCCUAGAUUGUCGGGUGGUCGUUCCUACUUCUCCGGGUUUCAUGUGGAGGAAUGGGCAUUGAAAACGGACUUAAUGUUUGUCUCUGUAUGUUCUGCUGACAAGGACGCAGAGAAGACAUUCGACAGUUUCAAUAGAAUGCAUAUGAUUUGGAGAGAUAGAGUUUGAGAUAGAGAGCACAGAGAGGUUAGGGUCCGAUCACAUUCACUUAGAUCAAAAGAUUCAACAAGAAGACAUAGCUAUAAGUGAAUACUGUAGAGGACAGAACACUAGUAUAUAUAUAUAUAUAUAAUCAACAUAGUGAAGAUAAUCAUGAAAACAUGUUGAGAUUGAAACCAAACCAAAUGUGAAGUCAUAGCAAGGUAAUGCCAUGAGUGAAACACUUCAAAUAGAACAUUUGGUGGUGGCGUUACCCACCGUAUAGGAAGUAUUAGACCCAGACACGGCGCACAAUUAUCGUGGCGCUCCGAAGUCAAAUUCCACAUUAAUGUAUUCACACUUAGAAUGUAUGUCUUCAUUGAUUGAAGAUAUACUUUACUUCGUGUGUUGCACAUCUAAGUCAUCAAUAUGCAUAAGGGUUAGGAUGUGUGCCUGAUCACAGGACAUUUGAGGAUUCCAGGAUAUUUAGCUCACAUCGUAACUUGCAAAAUCUCUUCUCAUCCAAGGGCUUGGUGAAGAUAUCUGCCAAUUGCUCUUCAGUGUUGACGUGUAUGAUAUCAAUAUCUUCCUUCACAACAUGAUCUCUGAGAAAGUGAUGACGAAUUUCAAUGUGCUUUGUCUUCGAGUGCUGAACAGGGUUGUUGGCAAUCUUGAUGGCGCUUUCGUUGUCACAGUAGAGUGGCACUUGCUUCAGAUGAAUGCCAUAGUCCUUGAGGGUUUGCUUCAUCCACAGAAGCUGAGCGCAGCAAGAUCCAGCAGCAAUGUAUUCAGAUUCAGCAGUGGAGAGAGAUACACAGUUCUGCUUCUUUGAAGACCAACAUACAGGUGAUCGUCCCAGAAAAUGACAUGUGCCUGAUGUAGACUUGCGAUCCACCUUGUCACCAGCAUAAUCAGCAUCCGAGAAUCCAACCAGAUCAAACUCUGAGCCCUUUGGAUACCAUAAUCCUAGAGUUGGGGUGUGAGCCAAAUAUCGAAGAAUUCGCUUCACAGCUAGGUGAUGCGACUCCUUUGGUGCCGCUUGAAAUCGAGCACACAUGCAAACACUAAGCAUAAUAUCUGGCCUAGAUGCACAUAGAUAAAGCAAAGAACCAAUCAUGGAGCGGUAUACCUUUUGAUCGAACUCUUUACCAUUGUCGUCAGGACCCAGAUGAUGCUUGGCUGGUAUUGGCGUCGUGAACCCUUUGCAGUCUUGCAUACCGAACUUCUUAAGGCAAUCCUUGAGAUGCUUCUCUUGAGAUAUGAAGAUGCCGUUGCGUUGCUGUCGUAUUUGAAUACCGAGGAAAAACUUCAGCUCUCCAUCAUGGACAUCUGAUAUUGCUCUUGCAUCAUAUAUCCAAACUCUUCACUGUACUUCUGAUUGGUGCAGCCGAAGAUAAUGUCAUCCACAUAUAUUUGGCACACAAACAGUUAACCAUCAUAUGUCUUCGUGAAGAGAGUGGGGUCGAGGGAACCAGGUAUGAAGCCUUUGCUCUUCAGGAAGUAUUUGAGUGUGUCAUACCAGGCCCGAGGGGCUUGUUUGAGGCCAUAUAGUGCCUUGUUGAGCUUGUAUACCGUAUCAGGAUGUUUUAGAUCUUCAGAGCCAGGUGGUUGUGCAACAUACACUUCUUCUUCAAUCUUUCCAUUGAGAAAGGCGCUCUUCACAUCCAUUUGAUAAAGAAGUAUGUUGUGAUGAUUUGCAUAGGCCAGCAGUAUGCGUAUGGCUUCAAGUCUAGCCACAGGAGCAAAUGUUUCAUUGAAGUCAAUGCCUUCCACUUGAGUAUAUCCUUGAGCAACUAGACGAGCUUUGUUUCUGACAACUUGACCAUGCUCAUCUUGCUUGUUGCGGUAUAUCCAUUUUGUGCCUAUUAUGUUGUGCUUCCGAGGAUCAGGACGCUUAACCAGUUCCCAUACAUUAUUCAGCUCAAACCGUUGAAGCUCUUCUUGCAUAGCUUGAAUCCAUUCAGGUUCCAUGAAGGCUUCUUCCACUUUCUUGGGUUCUGUUAUUGAGACGAAUGCGAAGUGCCCACAGAAAUUUGCCAGCUGGGUUGCCCUUGAUCGACUGAGCGGACCAGGUGCAUUGAUGCUGUCAAUUAUUCUCUCAAUUUGCACUUCAUUGGCAACACGAGGAUGUACAGGGCGAAGACUUUGCUCUUGCUGAUCAUUGUCGUUGUUGGAGGGAUUGUCUUCAGGUUGAGCAUUGUCUUCAGGUUGAUCUGGUGCAGAGAUGAUGAGUUCCUCUUCAGGAUGAGCUUUAGAAGGUAUGAUUUCUCCAGUUCCCAUUAGCUUGAUUGAUUCACUGGAUGGAACUUCAUCUAGCACAUUUGGCAGGUGCUCUCUUUGUGAACCGUUAGUCUCAUCGAACCGCACAUCCACGGUUUCAACCACUUUAUAAUGAAAGAGGUUGAAGACUCUGUAGGAGUGCGAAUCCUUUCCAUAUCCAAGCAUAAAACCCUCAUGUGCUUUUGGGGCAAACUUUGAAGUGUGAUGUGGGUCCUUGAUCCAGCACCUUGCGCCAAAUACUCUGAAGUAACUGGCAUUUGGCUUCUUGCCAGUGAGGAGCUCAUACGAUGUCUUGUUCAGAAGCUUGUGAAGAUAAACACGAUUGAUUGUAUGGCAUGCAGUAUCAAUGGCUUCAGGCCAGAAUUUUCUUGGAGUCUUGUAUUCAUCUAGCAUUGUUCUGGCCAUCUCAAUGAGUGUUCUGUUCUUGCAUUCGACGACGCCAUUCUGCUGUGGCGUGUACGGGGCUGAGAAUUCAUGUGUGAUGCCCAAGGUAUCAAGAUAUGUAUCAAGGCCAGUGUUCUUGAAUUCAGUGCCAUUGUCACUUUUGAUGUGCUUUAUCUUGGCACCAUAGUUGUUCAUUGCUCGAUUGGCGAAGCGUUUGAAGACAUCCUGCACUUCAGUCUUGUAAAGGAUUAUAUGCACCCAAGUGUAUCUAGAAUAAUCAUCAAUAAUGAAGAAGCCAUAGAGACAAGCAGUAGUAGUAAGAGUUGAGUAAUGAGUGGGACCGAAAAGAUCCAUGUGAAGCAGCUCGAAGGGUCGAGUAGUAGUCAUGAUUGUCUUCGAGGGAUGCUUGGCCCUCGUCAUCUUUCCUGCUUCACAGGCACCGCAUAAGUGAUCUUUCUUGAACUUGACGCCCUCAAUGCCUAUGACAUGCUUCUUCUUUGCCAGGGUGUGGAGGUUCCUCAUGCCAGCAUGCCCAAGCCUCCGAUGCCAGAGCCAGCAUUCUGAAGCUUUUGCUAGAAGACAUACGGCAAGUUGUGGUCCUGCUGAGAAAUCUACCACGUACAGAUCGUCUUUCCGAUACCCUUCAAACACUAGAGACUUGUCAGAUUCCAUUAGAACAAGGCAACAAUAUUUUCCAAAUAUUACGAUCAUGUUCAAAUCGCAUAGCAUUGAGACAGACAUUAAGUUGAAGCCAAGGGAUUCAACAAGCAUGACUUUAUCCAUGUGUUGAUCCUUUGAGAUUGCAACUCUACCUAGACCCAAUACCUUACUUUUACCAGUGUCAGCAAAUGUGAUGUGGCUCUUGUCGGAAGGACGUAAGGUUGAGUCCAUCAGAAGGCUUCUUUUGCCAGUCAUGUGAUUUGUACACCCACUAUCAGUAAUCCAUUCUGUAUACGCUGGUGUCGUACCCUACAGUGCAGUUAGGGGGAUAGGCUUCACGAAGAGAGUUGUGAAGCAAAAACAUUUGACGAACCAGUGGGUUAUGAAAGCUUAGAUCCAGAUUAGUACUGAUAGGGAGAGUAGCAAGCGAUUCAGGAACGAAGUACAUAGUAAGACCAUUCGGCAUUUGAUCUUGCGCCCUACAAGAUGUUUAAGGUCCCCAGCGAUAGCGUCAGAAGAUUUUGGUUUUCUGCUGGAGACCUUUCCCUGCAAAAGAGAGUUAAGCCUUCUUAACAACCCACAUCUUCAAGGGUGGCUUAGAAGCGAUAAGUCUAAGUGCAGAGUCUGAAAACUUUGGCUUUGGGGCUCUAGCAAAAAGUCUUGCAGGUGGACAAUAAUACUCAUAAGAAUAAGCAGAAUAGUUUUUGGUCUUAUGAACAUGGCGGUUCGAUGAACCGCGCUCAUAUUCAUAGGCCUGAGUAUGGUUUCCCUGCAAAACAUUUGCAUUAGUCCGACUCAGGUGAGUCCUCUGUCUGUAUGAAGCCUUUGGGCCAUAUGAAGCCUGUGGUCUGGGGUUUGUCUUCUUCAUCUAUGGUGUCAUGAUGACAUUCACAGGAAGAUUUUCCAAACACCUUUUGGGCACCCAGACCUUCUUCAUAGGCGGUCCAUUCCUGCAGUUAGUACCAAUGUACCUGGCAAAAACUUCACCAUUCUGAUUCUUAAAUAGUUUAUAGUUUGCAUCAAAGGAUUCAUCAAUGACAAUGGGGUUAGCACAAGUGAAGCCAGAUAGACUGGAUGGAUUUGCUGAAGGUUCCUUUGCAGCAACCCAUGUGGUUUUGGGAUACUGCUCGGGUUUCUAGUAAGAGCCAUCAGCAUUCAUUUUCCUUAUGAACCCAACACCCUCUUUCCUCGGGUUUCGGUUCAGAAUCUGCCUUUUGAGGACAUCACAUAGUGUCUGAUGCCCUUUAAGACUUUUGUACAUCCCUGUUUCAAGCAAUGUCUUCAACCUAGCAUUCUCAUCAGCAAUCGCAGUAGUAUCCUCAGUAGAGGGGUUAGUUACCACAUCAACAGUUGAAGAUAUUGCAACAGUAGCAGUAGUAGAACAUUCAGCAACAGAAGCAGCAUUAUCACGCUCAAUGCAUUUAAGACAUGGUGGUUCAAAUCCUUCCUGAGCGGAACUGAUCUGUUCGGCGCGAAGUGACUCGUUUUCCUUUUGAAGAUCUUCAUGAGCCGCUCUCAAUUUCUCAAGAUCUUGCUUCCUUUGAAGAUAAUCAUAGGAAAGCUUUUCAUGAGUUGUUGAGAGCGUUUCAUGACAACUUUCAAGUUCCUCAUAUUUAACGUGAAGAUUUUUUAUGUCUUGAAUUAAGGAUUCAGAUCGAGUCAUUUCAACGCCCAACAAAUCAUCGCUUUUGUCUAACAGUUUUUGAAUAUGUUCCAUGGCUUUCUGUUGUUCAGUUGCAAUUUUAGCAAGUGUUUUGUAGCUGGGUCUUGAAUCACAAUCAGAGUCAUCAUCACUAGAUGUUUGAUAGUGAGUAGUGCGUGUGUUUACCUUGGCACCGUGUGCCAUGAAGCAGUAGGUAGGAGCAGAGUCGUCCUUGUCAUUUGCAUCGGCGUCGGUGGUGAAGUCAUUGUCUUCAGUGUUGAAGAUGGACUUGGCAACGUAUGCUGUAGCCAGACUUGCAACACCAGAAUCGGACUCCUCCUCAGACUCCACCUCCGCCUCCUCAGACGCGGACUCCUCCUCUGAAUCCAUUUCCUUGCCAACAAACGCACGUGCCUUGCCAGAUGAGCUCUUCUUGUGUGAUGAAGACUUUGAGGAAGACUUGGAAGAAGACUUUGAGUAUUUCUUCUUCUUCUUGUCGUCAGAGUCAUAUUCCUUGCUCUUCUUCUUCUUUCUAUUCUCAUUGUCCCACUGCGGACACUCAGAGAUGAAGUGGCUAGUUUUCUUGCACUUGUGACAUGUUUUCUUCUUGUAGUCAUGAGCAGAAGCUUCAUCAUUCCUUGAGCUUGAUCGUGAAGACUUUCUGAAGCCUUUCUUCUUGGGGAAUCUUUGGAACUUCUUUACAAGCAUAGCAAGUUCCUUUCCAAUGUCUUCAGGAUCGUCAGAACUGCUGUCAGAUUCUUCUUCAGAUGAGGAGACAACUUUUGCCUUCAGGGCACGAGUUCGCCCAUAGUUUGGACCGUAGAUAUCUCUUUUCUCAGAAAGCUGAAACUCAUGUGUGUUGAGCCUCUCAAGUAUGUCGGACGGAUCGAGUAUCUUGAAAUCAGGUCGUUCUUGAAUCAUCAGGGCUAGGGUGUCAAACAAACUGUCAAGUGAUCUCAGUAGUGUCUUGACGACUUCAUGCUUGGUGAUCUCAGUGGCGCCGAGCGCUUGAAGCUCAUUUGUGAUGUCAGUGAGUCGGUCAAAUGUGAGCUGGACAUUCUCAUUGUCAUUUCGCUUGAAGCGGUUAAAGAGGUUGCGAAGAACGCUGAUUCUCUGAUCUCUCUGGGUUGAGACGCCUUCGUUGACCUUGGAGAGCUAGUCCCAGACCAGCUUCGAUGUUUCCAAAGUGCUCACACGGCCAUACUGUCCUUUGGUCAGAUGACCACAGAUAAUGUUCUUGGCAGUAGAGUCCAGUUGAACGAACUUCUUGACAUCAGCAACAGUGACACCUUCUCCAGCCUUGGGAACGCCGUUCUUGACGACAUACCAUAGGUCGACGUCAAUGGCUUCAAGAUGCAUGCGCAUCUUAUUCUUCCAGUAGGGAUAUUCAGUUCCAUCGAAGACGGGGCACGCAACGGAGACUUUAAUUAUCCCUGCAGUCGACAUAGCUAAAACUCCAGGUGGUUAAACCGAAUCACACAGAACAAGGGAGCACCUUGCUCUCAUACCAAUUGAAAGUGCAUUAUAUCGACUAGAGGGGGUGACUAGGCGAUUUUUAUGAAAGUCUUAAAAACAUGGAAGUUUCGAAGACAAAUGAUAGAAAUAAACCUAUUACCAUGCAGCGGAAGUUAGACUACACUAGAUAAACCAUAGUCAUGUAUUCAAUGAAGUGAAAGGACAAUGACUAAUAGUAGCUAGGUAGUAAGGAUCAGGCAGGAAGAUAUUAAGAAGCCAAACGGAUCACACAGUCACUCAGUGAAGACAAAAGAUAGAGCAAACAUACAAUGACUUCACACAGAGUAACAGUAAGUAAAGAGAAGGGAAGGAUGAAACCAGUGACUCGUUGAAGACAAAUAUUUGUUGGACCAGUUCCAGUUGCUGUGACAACUGUACGUCUGGUUAGGGCGGCUAGGUAUUUAAACCAAAGGACACAUAGUCCCGGACACCCAGUCCUGAACACGCAGCUCAGGACACCCAGUCCUCACAGUAUUCCCCUUGAGCUAAGGUCACACAGACCUCGCCCAAUCACUCUGGUAAGUCUUCAAGGUAGACUCCCAAACCUUCACAGACUUCGUUCACCGGCAAUCCACAAUGUCUCUUGGAUGCUAUAACGCGACGCCUAACUGGCUGGAGGAUGCACAGUCCUCAAGUGUAAUAAGUCUUCAUAUCACUCAGACAAGAAGACUUAAGUGAUGCCUAAUUCUCUUUGGCUCUGGGUGGUUAGGGCUUUAUCCUCGCAAGGAAUUCUCUCUCAAAGGCUUCGAGGUGGGUUGCUCUCAAACGACAAAAGCCGUACUCUGAAUCCGAGCAGCCAACCGUUUAUGGUUGUAGGGGGUGGGCUAUUUAUAGCCACUAGGCAACCCGACAUGAUUUGUCCGAAAUGACCCUGGGUCACUAAGGAACUGACACGUGUUCCAACGGUCAGAUUUCAAACUCACACGGCAACUUUACUUGGGCUACAAGCAAAGCUGACUUGUCCGACUCUGGACAAGAUUUGCUCUCAUAGUCUUCACUCGAAGACAUAGGUUUUUGUUUAAGCAUCACUUCAGUCAUUCUGACUGGUUCUCUUGGACCCCACUUAACAGUGCGGUGGUUCCUAUGACUCAACACAGAAGAAAAAGAACUACGAAAGAUCUAAGUCUUCGAGCUCCAUAGGCUUCAUGCAGUGUCUUCUCUUGUCAUAGUCUUCAAUGUGAAUAUCUUCAUAUACCACCUUUGACAUCAAUGUCUUCAUACAUUUUUAGGGGUCAUCUCUGGUGGGAAAACCAAAUCAAUGAGGUACUUCUACCUGUGUUAUCCUGCAAUUCUCAUAAACACAUUAGUCCCUCAACUAGGUUUGUCGUCAAUACUCCAAAACCAACUAGGGGUGGCACUAGAUGCACUUACACAGUCGUCUCUAAAGCAUAACCCCAAAAUGAUAGCAGUAAAUUAGUAAGAGACAUCAUAGAUCGCACCAUAUCUAAUAAAGUGCGGUUACGAUGUUCGGACACACCAUUAUGUUGUGGUGUUCCGUGUGGCGUGAGUUGCGAAACUGUUCUGCAUUGUUUCAAAUGAAGACCAAACACGUAACUCAAAUAUUCACCUCCACGAUCAGAUUGUAGAAACUUUAUUUUCUUGUUACGAUAUUUUUCCUCUUCACUCUGAAUUUUUUUGAACUUUUCAAAUGUUUCAGACUUAUGUUUCAUCAAGUAGAUAUACCCAUAUCUGCUCAAAUCAUCUGUGAAGGUCAGAAAAUAACAAUACCCGCCGCGAGCCUCAACACUCAUCGGACCGCAUACAUCCGUAUGUAUUAUUUCCAACAAGUCUAUUGCUCACUCCAUUGUUCCGGAGAAUGGAGUCUUAGUCAUCUUGCCCAUGAGGCAUGGUUCGCAAGCAUCAAGUGAUUCAUAAUCAAGUGAUUCCAAAAGUCCAUCAGCAUGGAGUUUCUUCAUGCGCUUUACACCAAUAUGACCUAAACGGCAGUGCCACAAAUAAGUUGCACUAUCAUUAUUAACCUUGCAUCUUUUGGCUUCAAUAUUAUGAAUAUGUGUGUCACUAUUGUCGAGAUUCAAUAAAAAUAGAUCACUCAUCAAGGGUGCAUGACCAUAAAAGAUAUUACUCAUAUAAAUAGAACAACCAUUAUUCUCUGAUUUAAAUGAAUAUCCGUCUCGCAUCAAACAAGAUCCAGAUAUAAUGUUCAUGCUUAACGUUGGCACCAAAUAACAAUUAUUCAGGUCUAAAACUAAUCCCGAUGGUAGAUGUAGAGGUAGCAUGCUGACGGCGAUCACAUCGACUUUGGAACCAUUUCCCACGCGCAUCGUCACCUCGUCCUUAGCCAAUCUUCGCUUAAUCCGUAGCCCAUGUUUCGAGUUGCAAAUAUGAGCAACAGAACCAGUAUCAAAUACCUAGGCGCUACUACGAGCAUUAGUAAGGUACACAUUAAUAACAUGUAUAUCAAAUAUACCUUUCACUUUGCCAUCCUUCUUAUCCAUCAAAUACUUGGGGUAGUUCCGCUUCCAAUGACCAGUCCCUUUGUAGUAGAAGCAUUCAGUCUCCGGCUUAGGUCCAGACUUGGGCUUCUUCACUUGAGCAACAACUUGCUUGUCAUUCUUCUUGAAGUUCCCCUUCUUCCCUUUGCCCUUUUUCUUGAUACUGGUGGUCUUGUUGACCAUCAACACUUGAUGCUCCUUCUUGAUUUCUACCUCUACAGCCUUUAGCAUUGCGAAGAGCUCGGGAAUUGUCUUAUCCAUCCCUUGCAUAUUAUAGUUCAUCAUGAAGCUUUUGUAGCUUGGUGGCAGUGAUUGAAGAACUCUGUCAAUGACACUAUCAUCAGGAAGAUUAACUCCUAGUUGAGUCAAGUGGUUGUGGUACCUGGACAUUUUGAGUAUAUGUUCACUAACAAAACUAUUCUCCUCCAUCUUACAGCUGUAGAACUUAUUGGAGACUUCAUAUCUCUCAAUCCGGGCAUUUGCUUGAAAAUUUUACUUCGACUCCUGGAACAUCUCAUAUGCUCCAUGAUGUUCAAAACGUUGUUGAAGUCCCGAUUCUAAGCCGUAAAGCAUGGCACACUAAACUAUCGAGUAGUCAUCGGCUUUGCUCUACCAGACGUUCAUAAUGUCCGGUGUUGCUUGAUACGUCUCCGUCGUAUCUACUUUUCCAAACACUUUUGUCCUUGUUUUGGACUCUAACUUGCAUGAUUUGAAUGGAACUAACCCGGACUGACGCUGUUUUCAGCAGAAUUACCAUGGUGUUAUUUAUGUGUAGAAAUAAAAGUUCUCGGAAUGACCUGAAACUUCAGGGAACGUCUUUUUGGAAAUAAUAAAAAAUCCUUGCAAAAGAUGAAGACCAGGGGGCCCACACCCUAGCCACGAGGGUGGGGGCGCGCCUGCCCCCCUAGGCGCGACCCCUACCUUGUGGGCCCCCUGGAGCUCCUCCGACCUCAACUCCAACUCUAUAUAUUUGCUUUCAGGGAGAAAAAAAUUAGAGAGAAGGAUUCAUCGCGUUUUACAAUACAGAGCCGCCGCCAAGCCCUAAAACCUCUCAGGAGGGCUGAUCUGGAGUCCGUUCGGGGCUCCGGAGAGGGGAAUCCGUCGCCAUCGUCAUCAUCAACCUUCCUCCAUCACCAAUUUCAUGAUGCUCACCGCCGUGCGUGAGUAAUUCCAUCAUAGGCUUGCUGGACGGUGAUGGGUUGGAUGAUAUUUAUCAUGUAAUCGAGUUAGUUUUGUUAGGGUUUGAUCCCUAGUAUCCACUAUGUUGUGAGAUUGAUGUUGCUAUGACUUUGCUAUGCUUAAUGCUUGUCACUAGGGCCCGAGUGCCAUGAUUUCAGAUCUGAACCUAUUAUGUUUUCAUCAAUAUAUGAGUGUUCUUGAUCCUAUCUUGCAAGUCUAUAGUCACCUACUAUGUGUUAUGAUCUGGCAACCCCGAGGUGACAAUAAUAGGGACCACUCCCGGUGAUGACCGUAGUUUGAGGAGUUCAUGUAUUCAUUAUGUGUUAAUGCUUUGGUCUGGUACUCUAUUAAAAGGAGGCCUUAAUAUCCCUUAGUUUCCGCUAGGACCCCGCUGCCACGGGAGGGUAGGACAAAAGAUGUCAUGCAAGUUCUUUUCCAUAAGCACGUAUGACUAUAUUCGAAAUACAUGCCUACAUUACAUUGAUGAAUUGGAGCUAGUUUUGUGUCACCCUAGGUUAUGACUGUUACAUGAUGAACCGCAUCCGGCGUAAUUCUCUAUCACCGAUCCAUUGCCUACGAGCUUUCCAUAUAUUGUUCUUCACUUAUUUACUUUUCCGUUGCUAUUGCUAUCAUCACUACAAAAUACCAAAAACAUUAAUUUUGCUAUCGUUACCUUUUGCUACCGUUACCACUACUAUCAUAUUACGUUGCUACUAAACACUUUACUACAGAUAUUAAGUUUCUAGGUGUGGUUGAAUUGACAACUCAACUUUCAACUGCUAAUACUUGAUAAUAUUCUUUGGCUCCCCUUGUGUCGAAUCAAUAAAUUUGGGUUGAAUACUCUACCCUCGAAAACUGUUGCGAUCCCCUAUACUUGUGGGUUAUCAAGACUAUUUUCUGGCGUCGUUGCCGGGGAGCAUAGCUCUAUUCUUUGAGUCACUUGGGAUUUAUAUCUGUUUAUCAUUAUGAAGAACUUGAGAGAUCCAAAAACCAAGAUUUAUCUCUCAACUACGAGGGGAGGUAAGGAACUGCCAUCUAGCUCUGCACUUGAUUCACCUUCUAUUUUGAGUAAGCUUGCGACACCUAAACCUGCUUCUGCUAUUCAUUCUGAUAUGUCGCAUGUUAUUAAUGAUGCCACUUGUGCUAUGCAUGAUACUUAUGAUGAAACUACUUCUAUGCUUGAUACUACUGUGCCACUUGGUGAAUUUCUUGAUGAACAACUUGCUAGGGUUAGAGAGAAUGAAAUUAUUGAAACUGAUAAUAUAUAUAUAUAUAUUUGAAUAUAUACUGUAGGGUAAAACCCCCACAGCCCUUUAUUGCAGUCUCAAAAAACAAACUGUACAGUGAAAGAAAGAGAUGACAAGCCUAAACGAAAAGUUAAGAAGAACUUACAAUUACAUGAGGGAGUUAACUCAAUCUACAAGCCUAGACUUAGAGCUAUCCUUAAACCUAUGUGACAGGAGAAGAAUGUCAUGUACAAAACUGCCCCUCCAGGCAACAAAAGUAGCCCGUAGUCCCCUGAAAGUUCUUCCAUUUCUCAGAAUCCAUAUAUUCCAAGCAGCUGUGAGCAUAACUUCAAAGAAGAAAGGAUACCCAAAUCGCUGCCUUGCUUGAGAUAUACAUUGCUGAAUAGAAGAACCAUGUGACCAAUCGAUCUGCAGGUAUUUCCAAACCCUGGCACUGAAAUUACAACCAAAGAAUAGGUGAGCCCUGUCCUCCCAAACAAAGGCAUUACAGAUGACACAUAGAUGAUCAGCCGUAGGGGACCUCCGGUGGCUGCGGACCAGCACGUCCUUUGUGUUGAGUCUGUCAAAGAAUAGGAGCCAGCCAAAAACCUUAAUUUUCAUAGUACAUAUGCUCUGCCAAAGCCACCUGCAGGGUUUAAUAGUUGGGAGGUGUGUAUGCAUGAUGUCAUAGAAGCUCUUUGCAGAAAACUGUCCAGAUUUACCAGGCCAAAUCCAAACAUCAGGCAAUGUUGGAUCUCUCUGGAGAUUGAACAUCCUUCCUUCCAAGGAUUCCAAUUCUGCUGCUGCCUGCUGAGAAAUUGGCAGAUGAAACAUUGAGAACAAAUCCUGGGUUUGCAAAAACUCCCUGACAGAAACCUUAUCAUCCAAAACAAAAGAGAAAAGCCUUGGUAAUCUGAGGCUUAGUGGCCUUGAAGAGCCACCUACAUGGCAAGCAUCCAGCCAAAAGAGAGCAGAAUCACCCAUAUUAACUGGCACUGAAGCAAUUGACCUAUAAGUGUCAGCAAGCUUGAGAAUGUCCUUCCACCAAAAGGAGCCAGUUAGGACUGUUGCAUGGGGCACCACUCCAUCAUAAUAACUAUCCCAAAUCAACUGGACCCAAGGAAUCUGCUGUUUGUUGUAGAACUUAUGCAUUUGUUUGAGAAGCAGACCUUGAUUUUGAACAUUGAGGUUGAGAAUGCCAAGUCCUCCCUUAUCCUUUGGUCUGCAAACUAAAUCACAGGCAGCUAGGGAUUGCUUAGGCACAUCAGAAUUUCCUCUCCACAAACACUGCCUGAAAAUCCUAUCCAACUGUUUGAUAAUACCAGGUGGGAUAUGCAAGCUGCAGAGGAAGUAUAUGGGCAUUGAAGUAAGCACAGAUGUGAGAAAUUGUAACCUGGAUCCUUGGUUGAGCAUGGCAGAGCUAACAGACAGUCUUCUUUCAAGACUAUCCACUAAAGGCAUGAAAUCAAUGAUUCUAGGUCUUGUUGUACCAAGAGGCAAACCCAGAUAUGUGAAAGGUAACUGCUCCGGUUUACAUCCCAGGAUGGAAGACAACCUCUGUGCCUCUGUGGGAUCAACAUUUAGUGGCACCAUUGAAGACUUUCCAAAAUUUACCUUUAGGCCAGUAGACUGUUGGAAAAUAUGGAGCAUGUUCUUGAGAGCCACCAACUGGUCCUGUACUGCAGAAAGGAUAAUUAUUGUGUCAUCUGCAUACUGAAUGAUAGGAAAUUCAGGGUCCUAAGAUGGGAUUGGAAGUGUUAGAACUCCCUUAGCCAGCAUGUUAUUGACCAUUGUUUGAAGAAGAUCGGCAGCUAUGACAAAUAAAAGAGGGGAUAGGGGAUCCCCCUGCCUGACCCCACAUUUAUAUUUGAACUGUUUGCCAGGCACCCCAUUAAGCAAAACAGAUGAUGAUCCUGAGGAGAGAAUCUCUUUAAUCCAAGAAAUCCAUUUGGCAUCAAAACCUUUGUGCUGUAGAACUUGCAAGAUGAAGUCAUGCUCCACAGUGUCAAAAGCUUUGGCAAAAUCCAAUUUCAAAAUGAUGGUUGGCCUUUUGGAUUGAUUGCAUUGAUGUAUAUAUUCAAAAGCCCAAGCCAGGCAGUCCUGAAUGGCUCUGCUCUUCAAAAACCCAUAUUGAUUCUUAUGGAUGCAUUGCAGAAUGACCUUUUGAAGCCUAUUUCCCAAAAGCUUAGUAAGGAACUUGAGGCAUGUGUUAGUAAGAGAGAUUGGUCUAAAAUCCUCAAGUCCUUCAGGAGACAACAUCUUUGGAAUUAAGGUGAUAAGGGAUCCAUUAAUAUUUUCCAAAGAUAGCCUCCCAUCAUAAAACCCCUGAAUGAGAGCCAAGAAAUCCUUCUCAAUGAUGGGCCAACACUUCUUAACAAAAAGACCAUUAAAACCGUGAAAGUGAUGAUGAAGAUUCUCCCCCUAAUAAAUAUGAAUUGCCUGUUGUGCCUGAGGGCUAUGUUAUGGAUGAAGAAAUUGCUAAAGCUAUUUUUGUUUGCAAAGAUAGAUAUGAUCUUAAGAAGUUAUUAGCUAAAUGGAAGCAGCAAUCUCUUAAUGCUAGAAUGAAACCUGACCCUGCUUUUGCUACUUCACCUAUCUGUGUUACUGAUAAGGAUUAUGAAUUCUCUGUUGAUCCUGAUAUAAUUACUUUGGUUGAAUCUGAUCCUUUUCAUGGCUAUGAGUCUAAAACUGUUGUGGCACAUCUUACUAAAUUAAAUGAUAUAGCCACCCUAUUCACUAAUGAUGAGAGAACUCGUUACUUUUAUAUCCUUAAAAUAUUCCUGUUCUCAUUAAAGGGUGAUGCUAAGAUAUGGUUUAAUUCUCUUGAUCCUGGUUGUGUGCGUAGUCCCCAGGAUAUGAUUUAUUACUUCUCUGCUAAAUAUUUCACUGCUCAUAAGAAACAAGCUGCUUUGAGGGAUAUAUAUAAUUUUGUGCAAAUUGAAGAAGAGAGUCUCCCACAAGCUUGGGGGAGGCUUCUCCAAUUACUUAAUGCUUUGCCUGAUCAUCCUCUUAAGAAAAAUGAAAUAUUGGAUAUAUUUUAUAAUGGACUAAGUGAUGCUUCCAGAGAUUACCUGGAUAGUUGUGUUGGUUCUGUUUUCAAGGAAAGAACACCGGAUGAAGCUGAAAUUCUAUUGAAUAAUAUGUUGACAAAAGAAAAUAAUUGGACACUUCCUGAGCCAGCUCCUGAGCCUAUUCCUAAACCAACUCCGAAGAAGAGGGGUAUUCUAUUUCUCAGUCCUGAAGAUAUGCAAGAGGCAAAGAAAUCCAUGAAAGAAAAGGGUAUUAAAGCUGAAGAUGUUAAGAAUUUACCUCCUAUUGAAGAAAUACACGGUCUUAAUUUACCGCCUGUUGAAGAAACAUAUGAUCUUAAUCCAUUACCUAUUGAAGAAAUACAUGGUCUUGAUAACCCGACACAAGUAGUAAAGGUAAACUCUCUCUAUAGAUAUGAUAAAAUUGAAAUCCCUCUUACUAAGUUUGCUAGCCAAUGCUUAGAUGAGUUUGAUAAUUUUAUGGUGAAGCAAGAAGAUUUUAAUUCUUAUUUUGGUAGACAAUUGAAAUACAAUUCAAAUAUGCUUGAACACUUGGGUGAUUAUAUGGCUAAUGUUAAAGGUGAAAUUAAACUUAUUAGCAAACAUGCUUCUAUGGUUACCACUCAAGUAGAACAAGUACUUAAAGCUCAAAAUGAUUUGCUCAAUGAACUGAAUAGUAAGAAUAAUGAUAAUGCUGUUAGAGUUAUGACUAGAGGUGGUAAAAUGACUCAAGAACCUUUGUAUCCUGAAGGCCAUCAUAAGAGAAUUGAGCAAGAUUCUCGGAGAAAUAAUAUAGAUGCACCUAGUUCUUCUAAAAGGAAGAAAAAGAAAAAUGAUAGGACUUUGCAUGCUUCUAGUGAACCUAUUGAUGAAACACCUGAGAAUCCAAAUGAUAUUUCUAUUUCUGAUGCUGAAACACAAUCUGGUAAUGAACCUGAAACUAGUGAUAAUAUUAAUGAUAAUGUUCAUGUUGAUGCUCAACCUAGCAAUGAUAAUGAUAUAGAAAUUGAACCUGUUGUUGAUCUUGAUAACCCACAAUCAAAGAAUCAACGUUAUGAUAAGAGAGACUUUGUUGCUAGGAAACAUGGUAAGGAAAGAGAGCCUUGGGUUCAGAAACCCAUGCCUUUUCCUCCCAAACCAUCCAAGAAAAAGGAUGAUGAGGAUUUUGAGCACUUUGCUGAAAUGAUUAGACCUACCUUUUUGCGUAUGCGAUUAACUGAUAUGCUUAAAAUGAAUCCUUAUGCUAAGUACAUGAAAGAAAUUGUUACUAAUAAAAGAAAGAUACCGGAAGCUGAAAUUUCCACCAUGCUUGCUAAUUAUACUUUUAAAGGUGGAAUACCUAAGAAACUAGGAGAUCCCGGAGUACCAACUAUACCAUGCUCCAUUAAAAGAAAUUAUGUUAAAAUUGCUUUAUGUGAUCUUGGAGUCGGUGUUAGUGUUAUGCCUCUCUCUUUAUAUCAUAGACUUGAUUUGAAUAAGUUGACACCUACUAAAAUAUCUUUGCAAAUGGCUGAUAAAUCAACUGCUAUACCUAUCGGUAUUUGUGAGGAUGUGCCUGCUGUGGUUGCAAACGUUACUAUUUUAAUGGACUUUGUUAUUCUUGAUAUUCCCGAGGACGAUAGUAUGUCUAUUAUUCUUGGAAGACCCUUUUUGAAUACUGCAGGGGCUGUUAUUGAUUGCAACAAAGGCAAUGUCACUUUUCAUGUUAAUGGUAAUGAGCAUACGGUACACUUUCCGAGGAAACAACCUCAAGUCCACAGUAUCAAUUCUAUUGGAAAAAUUCAAUCGAUUAUUUUUGAAGGUUUUGAAUUUCCUCUUCCUACUGUCAAAAGAAAUAUGAUAUUCUUAUUAUUGGGGAUGUGCAUAUCCCCGUUGAGGUAACAUAGUGUUAUUCGAAAUUCCUCCGGUUCCAUGUUAUUCGGAAUGAGUUUGCUAACAAGACUUGAUCAACCAUGUUAACGGAUUCCUUUUGAUGAGCAUGAGAUGGAUGAAACUAGAAGGCACAACUCUCCGUACCCUCCUUUUACUUUCUGUUAUUUAUAUUAAAUAAAAUUAAAAGAAGUAUUUUCCGUCUGUUAUCUGAUUUAUCCGUGCAAUAUAAAAUACCCCGAAAAUAAAAGUUCUCCAAAUGCCUUGAAAUUUAAAUAUGAUUUUUUCUGGAAUAUUUGAGAAUAUUUGGCACUAAGAACACAACACAGGGGGCAUCCACCUGGCCACGAGAGUGGAGGGCGCGCCCUACCCCCCCUGUGCGUGCCCCUUGCCUCGUGGGCCCACGGUGGCCCUCCUCCACUUAUUCCUGCACCCACACACUCCUUCCUCCCAUAAACACGAUUAUCCAGUUCGAACCCAAGUCCAAGCUCAUUUUGCUGCUAUUUUCGAUCUCCUUGCUCAAAGCACCUCUCACAAAACUGCUUGGGGGGAUUGUUCCUUGGUAUGCGACUCCUCCAUUGGUCCAAUUAGUUUUUGUUCUAGUGCUUUAUUCAUUGCAAAUUUAUGUUGUCUAGGUGCCCAUGUUCCUGAGCUUGCAUGUCAAAUUUAUGUGGUUCCAACUAGUUUUGAUGCAUGAUAUAGGCUCUAGGCACUUGUAGGAGUUGUUGCUAUCAAUUUUGUUGAGCUUGGCUCACUUUUAUUUGAAGUUACUAAAAAUUUCAGAAUUUUUCAGAAAAUAAUGAAGAGAUUUUUGAGGGGCUCAUCAAGCCGAAGCUCGAAGGAAAAGCAAAAUGAAAAAGCAGAGAGGCCCGAAUAUAAUCUGCCUCGCACCGCAGAGGUUCGGCCGUGUGAAUGGCCUUCCAAUGAUUUCUUGAGAGCAGUCGGGAUUUAUGAUGAUUUUUAUGAAUUGGCUGAGAAUGUAGGCCUCACCGCCUUCCUCCAUGACCAACGCGAACAAUAUCUCUUACUCACCAAUAUCUUUGUGCAAAACUUUCAUUUCCAUGCUAGGAGCUCACCACCUACGGUGGAGUUUUAUUUGUAUGAUGAGCACAAGGAGAUGUCACUUUACGAUUUCUGUCGGGUUUGAUUGAUCCCUUUCGAGGGCACAAUAGAGGAACCACACCGCGGUGAUGUGGAUGGGUUUAUAGAUACCAUCACUGUAGGGGAAACGAGGAAGGUUUCCGAUGCACGAAUCACUAGCAUACAUUUUCCUGUUUUACGCUACUUUGCAAUAUUUGCUAGUCGUUGCUUAAUUGGUCGCGAAAACUGUGGAAACCUUAGUGUUCCUGAUAUUAUUAUUUUGUUCCACGGUUUAUUCUGUGAUAAAUCUGUUAGUAUGGGCGGUAUUAUUGCUAAACGGUUAAGUCUCAACUGUACAAAGGGCCCCAUCUUUGGAGGCAUCUAUGCUUCACGCCUAACUGCGCAUUUUAACAUACCUAUUAAGCAUUAUGAGAAGGAAGAAAAAUUGCUGCCCCUGUUUAUUUAGAUUAUAAGAGUAUGGUGGCACACGAUUUUAUUGUUAAGAAUAGGAAAGGGGAGCUUAAAUACAAAUUGUUCUUUGAUAAACAUCAUCCUGAGACUAUUACCCUGCCUACUCCUUCCUUGUUUGAUUUAUCUCCAGGCAAGUACCUUGUUCCGUUAGAGGCUAUUCACGCCUACCGGAACAUUGCAUCAGCCACAGAGCCAGAGUCGGAACCACUAGUUGAUCCUCCACGACAGUCUAAUUACCAUUGGGAUCCAGAAAUGAUAGCCACCAGUGGAAAUCAGAGUCUUCUUCGCAGUACGACCCCAACUAUUACUAUGGAUAUCCGCCAGGCCAGCCGUGGCCAUAGACCAACUUAGGUCAAAAGCCUAAACUUGGGGGAGUACGUAUUUCCCGCCGACAUUACAUUCAUGUUCGCACACUCAUUGCUAGAUGUCGGUGCUCAUACUUUUUCAUUGUAUCAUCCAUGCUAGUUCAUUUCCUUUUUAAGCUUUCUUCUUGUGUGUUUAAUAAACCUUAAGAAAAACCAAAAAAACUAGUUGUAGCUUUUAGCUAGUUUUAAUUUCCAUGCUUGUAGUAGUAAUUAAAAAGAAAACCCAAAAAAAGAUUUCUUGUUCUUGUUUUGCUCGUUGGGAGCUUUCCCGUGUAAAUAGUUUUAUUUCUUUUCUUUGGGGGUCGAUAGGAGAAUACCAUGAUUAAAUUGUUGAAGUGGCUCUUAUAUAUAUUUUUUAUCUGACAAAAGAGCCCAUAUUGCCUUGUCUUCUCCAGUUUAUUGAAUGCUUGCAGAUUCCAGCUUAGUCCAAUGCACGCGCACUAUUAUUAUUAUCCACAUCGUUCGGUCGUGCAAGUGAAAGGCAAUUAUGACAAUAUAUGAUGGACUGACUGAGAUGAGAAAAGCUGGUAUAAACUCAACCUCUCUUGUUUUUGUAAAUAUGAUUAGUUCAUCGUUCCUGAUUCAGCCUAUUAUGAAUAAACAUGUUUGCAAUGACAACUAGAGAUCAUAGUUUCUUGUGCCAUGCUUGAUUAGCUAGGAGCUUAUAAUGGUUUACCUUGCGUGCCAACAUGCUAUUAAAAUGGUUGUGAUGUGGUAUGAUAGGGUGGUAUCCUCCUCUGAAUGAUUUGAGUGGCUUGACUUGGCACAUGCUCACGCAUGUAGUUGAAAUAAAAUCAACAUAUCCUCUACGAUAUUUAUGUUCAUGGGGAAUUAUAUCCUACUCAUGCUUGCAUUUGGUGUUGAUUAAUUUUAAUGCAUGUUUAUGAGUGUUGUCGCUCUCUAGCUGGUUGCUUCCCAGUCUUUUGCUAGCCUUCACCUGUACUAAGCGGGAAUACUGCUUGUGCAUCCAAUCCCAUAAACCCCAAAGUUAUUCCAUAUGAGUCCACCAUACCUACCUAUUUACGGUAUCUACCUGCCGUUCCAAGUAAAUUUGUAUGUGCCAAACUCUAAACCUUCAAAUAAAUAUCAUGUUUUGUAUGCUCGAAUAGCUCAUGUAUCAACUAGGGCUGUCUGUAUCUUCCAUGUUAGGCGGGUUAUUCUCAAGAGGAGUGGACUCCGCUCCUCACUCACGAGAAAAUGGCUGGUCACCGGGAUGCCCAGUCCCAUGCUUUAUGCAAAUCAAAUCAAAAUAAUUGCAAACAAAACUCUCCCUAGGACUCUUGUUAGUUGGAGGCACUCGUUGUUUUGAGCAAGCCAUGGAUUGAUGCUUGUUAGUGGAAGGGGAGUAUAAACUUUACCAUUCUGUUUGGGAACCGCCUAUAAUGUGUGUAGCAUAGAAUAUAUCGCCCUCUCUUGGUUGUUAUGUUGACAAUGAAAGUAUACUGCUCAAAAUAUUAUUCACCUCUAUUUCAAAACCGAGCUCUGGCACCUCUACAAAUCCCUGCUUCCCUCUGCGAAGGGCCUAUCUAUUUACUUUUAUGUUGACUCAUCAUCCUCUUAUUAAAAAUCACAAGUUGGAGAGCACCGCUGUCAUUUGCAUUCAUUACUGUUAGUUUACAUUGAGUAUGACUGGACUGGAUCUCUUUUACCAUGAAUUACAAUGUCUAGUCAGUCCUUGAUCUUUAAAGGUGCUCUGCAUUUAUGUUUUGCGGUCUCAGAAAGGGCUAGCGAGAUACCAUCUUGUUAUAUCAUAUCAUGAUUGUUUUGAGAAAGUGUUGUCAUCUGAGAUUUAUUAUAUUGCUCGCUAGUUGAUUAUGCCAUUGAUAUGAGUAAACAUGAGACCUAAAUGUUAUUGUGAAUAUGGUUAGUUCAUAAUCUUUGCUGAAAACUUGAAUGCUGGCUCUACAUAUUUACAACAACAAGAGCAAACAGAGUUUGUAAAAGUUUUUCUUUAUCACUUUCAGCUUAUCAACUGAACUGCUUGAGGACAAGCAAAGGUUUAAGCUUUGGGCAGUUGAUACGUCUUCGUCGUAUCUACUUUUCCAAACACUUUUGCCCUUGUUUUGGACUCUAACUUGCAUGAUUUGAAUGGAACUAGCCCGGACUUACGCUGUUUUCAGCAGAAUUGCCAUGGUGUUAUUUUUGUGCAGAUAUAAAAGUUCUCGGAAUGACCCGAAAAUCAACGGAGAAUUAUUUUGGAAUACAUAAAUAAUACUGGAAGGAAGAUCCACGUCAGGGGGGCCUCCACCUGUCCACGAGGGUGGGGGCGCGCCCUACCCCCCUGGUGCUACCUCUUGAGCACUGCGUUGGUUUUCCCUUGAAGAGGAAAGGGUGAUGCAGUAAAGUAGCGUAAGUAUUCCCCUCAGUUUUUGAGAACCAAGGUAUCAAUCCAGUAGGAGAUCACGCUCGAGUCCCACGCACCUACACAACCAAAUAAGAACCUCGCAACCAACGCGAUAAAGGGGUUGUCAAUCCCUUCACGGUCACUUACGAGAGUGAGAUCUGAUAGAUAUGGUAAGAUAAUAUUUUGGUAUUUUUAUGAUAAAGAGAAAUAAAGAUGCAAAGAAAAAUAAACGGCAAUAGAAAUAACUAAGUAUCACCUGGGCGCACCCCCUGCCUCGUGGGCCCCCUGACGCUCCACCAACCUCAACCCUGACUUCAUAUAUUCACUUUCGGGGAGAAAAAACCAGAGAGAAAGAUUCAUCACAUUUUACGAUACGGAGCCGCCGCCAAGCCCUAAACUCUCUCGGGAGGGCUGAUCUGGAGUCCGUUCGGGGCUCCGAAGAGGGGAAUCCAUCGCCAUCAUCAUCAUCAACCUUCCUCCAUCACCAAUUUCAUGAUGCUCACCGUCGUGCGUGCAUAAUUCCAUCGUAGGCUUGCUGGACGGUGAUGGGUUGGAUGAGAUUUAUCAUGUAAUCGAGUUAGUUUUGUUAGGGUUUGAUCCCUAGUAUCCACUAUGUUCUGAGAUUGAUGUUGCUAUGACUUUGCUAUGCUUAAUGCUUGUCACUAGGGCCCGAGUGCCAUGAUUUCAGAUCUGAACCUAUUAUGUUAUCAUCAAUAUAUGAGCGUUCUUGAUCCUAUCUUGCAAGUCUAUAGUCACCUACUAUGUGUUAUGAUCCGGCAACCCCGAAGUGACAAUAAUCGGGACCACUCCUGGUGAUGACCGUAGUUUGAGGAGUUCAUGUAUUCACUAUGUGUUAAUGCUUUGGUCCGGUACUCUAUUAAAAGGAGGCCUUAAUAUCCCUUAGUUUCUGCUAGGACCCCGCUUCCACGGGAGGGUAGGACAAAAGAUGUCAUGCAAGUUCUUUUCCAUAAGCACGUAUGACUAUAUUCGGAAUACAUGCCUACAUUACAUUAAUGAAUUGGAGCUAGUUCUAUGUCACCCUAGGUUAUGAUUGUUACAUGAUGAACCGCAUCCGACAUAAUUCUCUAUCACUGAUCCAUUGCCUACGAGCUUUCCAUAUAUUGUUCUUCGCUUAUUUACUUUUCCAUUGCUAUUGCUAUCAUCACUACAAAAUACCAAAAACAUUACUUUUGCUAUCGUUACCUUUUGCUGCCGUUACCACUACUAUCAUAUUACUUUGCUACUAAACACUUUGCUGCAGAUAUUAAGUUUCCAGGUGUGGUUGAAUUGACAAGUCAGCUGCUAAUAGUUGAGAAUAUUCUUUGGCUCCCCUUGUGUUGAAUCAAUAAAUUUGGGUUGAAUACUCUACCCUUGAAAACUGUUGCGAUCCCCUAUACUUGUGGGUUAUCAUUGCUCCUGCAGCGGGUCUUGCACAUAGCGGUGCUUCCAGGACGUAAUUCUUCUGUGUAGCAAUGAGGAUAAUCCUCAAGUUACGGACCUAGUCCAUGUAGUUGCUACCAUCAUCUUUCAACUUAGGUUUCUCUACGAACGCAUUAAAAUUCAAAGGGACAUUAGCACGGGCCAUUGAUCUACAACAACAUAGACAUGCAAACUACUAUCAGGUGCUAAGUUCAUGAUAAAUUAAAGUUCAAUUAAUCAUAUUACUUAAGAACUCCCACUUAGAUAGACAUCCCUCUAGUCAUCUAAAUGAUCACGUGAUCCAUAUCAACUAAACCAUGUCCGAUCAUCUCGUGAGAUGGAGUAGUUUCAAUGGUGAACAUCACUAUGUUGAUCAUAUCUACUAUAUGAUUCACGCUCGACCUUUCGGUCUCAGUGUUCCGAGGCCAUAUCUGCAUAUGCUAGGCUCGUCAAGUUUAACCCGAGUAUUCUGCGUGUGCAAAACUGGCUUGCACCCGUUGUAUGUGAACGUAGAGCUUAUCACACCCGGUUAUCACGUGGUGUCUCGGCACGACGAACUAUAGCAAUGGUGCAUACUCAGAGAGAACACUUGUACCUUGAAAUUUAGUGAGAGAUCAUCUUAUAAUGCUACCGCCGUACUAAGCAAAAUAAGAUGCAUAAAGGAUAAACAUCACAUGCAAUCAAAAUAAGUGAUAUGAUAUGGCCAUCAUCAUCUUGUGCCUUUGAUCUCCAUCUCCAAAGAACCGUUAUGAUCACCAUCAUCACCGGCUUGACACCUUGAUCUCCAUCGUAGCAUCGUUGUCAUCUCGCCAACUAUUGCUUCUACGACUAUCGCUACCACUUAGUGAUAACGUAAAGCAAUUACAUGGCGAUUGCAUUUCAUACAAUAAAGCGACAACCAUAAGGCUCCUGCCAGUUGCCGAUAACUUUUACAAAACAUGAUCAUCUCAUACAACAACUUAUAUAUCAUCACGCAAAAACAAGUUAGACGUCCUCUACUUUGUUGUUGCAAGUUUUACGUGGCUGCUACAGGCUUCUAGCAAGAACCGUUCUUAUCUACGCAUCAAAACCACAAUGAUUUUUCAUCAAGUGUGUUGUUUUAACCUUCAACAAGGACCGGGCGUAGUCAAACUCGAUUCAACUAAAGUUGGAGAAACAGACACCCAGUAGCCACCUGUGUGUGAAGCACCUCGAUGGAACCAGUCUCAUGAACGCGGUCAUGUAAUGUCGGCCUGAGCUGCUUCAUCCAACAAUACCGCCAAAUCAAAGUAAGACGUUGCUGGUAAGAAGUAUGACUAUUAUCGUCCACAACUCAUUGUGUUCUACUCGUGCAUAUAACAUCUACGCAUAGACCUGGCUCGGAUGUCAUUGUUGGGGAACGUAGUAUUUCAAAAAAAAUCAUACGAUCACGCAAGAUAUAUCUAGGAGAAGCAUAGCAAUGAGCGGGGAGAGUGUGUUCACGUACCCUCGUAGACCGAAAGCGGAAGCGUUUAGUAACACGGUUGAUGUAGUCGAACGUCUUUGCGAUCCAAUCGAUCCAAACACCAAACGUACGACACCUCCGCGUUCAGCACACGUUCAGCUUGAUGACAUCCCUCGAGCUCUUGAUCCAGUUGAGGCCGAGGGAUAGUUCCGUCAGCACGAUGGCGUGGCGACGGUGAUGAUGAAGUUACCGGCGCAGGGCUUCGCCUAAGAACUACGACGAUAUGACCGAGGUGUGUAACUGUGGAGGGGGGCAACGCCCACGGCUAAGAGAAACUUGUGUCUUUGGGGUGCCCCCCUCCCACGUAUAUAAAUGGGGGGAGGAGGCCGGCCCAAAGGGGGGCGCGCCACAUGUUGGGGGUCCUACUAGGACUCCCUAGUCCUAGUAGGAUUCCCCUCUCCUUUCCUUUUACGGAAGGGGGAAAGGGGGGAAGGAGAGGAGGGGAAGAGGGAAAGGGGGCACGCCCCCUCCCCUUCCUAUUCGGACUCCACUUGGGGGGACGCGCACGCCUCCCCCUUGUGGGUUGUACCCUCUUCUCUCCCAUGGCCCAUAAGGCCCAUGAUUUCCCCCGGGGGGUUCCGGUAACCUCCCGGUACUCCAGAAAAAUGCUCGAAUCACUCGGAAUCAUUCUGAUGUUUGAAUGCAACCUUCCAAUAUAUGAAUCUUUACCUCUCGACCAUUUCUGUGAUCUCAUCCGGGACUCCGGACAAACUUCAGUCAUCAAAUCACAUAACUCAUAAUACAAAUUGGCACGAACGUUAAGCAUGCGGACCCUAUGGGUUUGAGAACUAUGUAGACAUGACUGAGACACAUCUCCGGUCAUUAACCAAUAGCGGAACCUGGAUGCUCAUAUUGGCUCCUACAUAUUCUACGAAGAUCUUUAUCGGUCAAACCGCAUAACAACAUACGUAGUUCCCUUUGUCAUAUGUAUGUUAUUUGCCCGAGAUCCGAUCGUCGGUAUCCCCAUACCUAGUUCAAUCUCGUUACCGUCAAGUAUCUUUACUUGUUCCGUAAUGCAUCAUCAUGUAACUAACUCAUUAGUCACAUUGCUUGCAAGGCUUAUAGUGAUGUGCAUUACCGAGAGGGCUUAGAGAUACCUCUCUGAUACACGAAGUGGCAAAUCCUAAUCUCGAUCUAUGCCAACUCAACAAACACCAUCAGAGACACCUGUAGAGCAUCUUUAUAAUCACCCAGUUACAUUGUGACGUUUGAUAGCACACUAAGUGUUCCUCCGGUAUUCGGGAGUUGCAUAAUCUCAUAGUCAUAGGAACAUGUAUAAGUCAUAAAGAAAGCAAUAGCAAUAAAAUUAAACGAUCAUUAUGCUAAGAUAACGGAUGGGUCUUGUCCAUCACAUCAUUCUCUAAUGAUGUGAUCCCGUUCAUCAAAUGACAACACAUGUCUAUGGUUAGGAAACUUAACCAUCUUUGAUUAACGAGCUAGUCUAGUAGAGGCAUACUAGGGACACUCUGUUUGUCUAUGUAUUCACACAUGUACUAAGUUUCUGGUUAAUACAAUUCUAGCAUGAAUAACAAAGAUUUAUCAUGAUAUAAGGAAAUAUAAAUAACAACUUUAUUAUUGCCUCUAGGGCAUAUUUCCUUCAGGAAGAGCAUCGCGGGUGGGAGGGAGAAGGGGAAUUAAGAGAGUGUGGGUUUGGGUUUGGGCCUCCGCGUGCUAUGUGUACACAUGUGUUGGUGGGUCGAUAGUAGUGGUCCUGGGUUUAUACCCCACGCUACUACUAUGGCCUAUCCCGGGGGUACGGUAGAGACCGCUUAGUAGUAGCGAGGGAUUUAUACCCCUCACUACUACUAUCAACUUAGUAGUAGUGAGGGAUUUAUACCCCUCGCUACUACUAUCAACUUAGUAGUAGUGAGGGAUUUAUACCCCUCGAUACUACUAUGGCCAGUCCCGGGGGGCACGGUGGAGACCACUUAGUAGUAGUGUGGGGUUUAUACCCCUCGCUACUACUAUCAACUUAGUAGUAGUGUGGGUUCUAUACCCCUCGCUACCAAUAAUUAGCAGCAGUGUGGCCCAUAUACCCCUCGCUACGGUUAAGCAUCUAUCUAUAAAGUAUUUUCUAGUAGUGCAUCGAUGGCGGCGAAAUCAGUCGUUCUGCUUGUUUUCCCUACUAGCUCUCUGACGUCCAGAACAAGUUUACGGUCAUAAGGUGCAAUAACCUUGCCUUCAUGAGUGACACGAUGACACGGGAACAGGCUUCCAAGCCUAUGGUGUCGCAUCAUGUCGUGGUCUGCUAGACUUAGUGGACGAAUGCUACUACAAUAUCGGUUGAUCUCAUACUACAAUACCAAGGAAGACACGCAACUACUAUAUAUAUUUCUUCAAGUCAGUCAACACAAGUAAAAUCUGGGAGUUCAACUGGUGCAGCUAUGCAAUGCUAAUGGAGACAACACAAUUCAACUUUAGCACUUCACACAUAAGCAACACCACGUUCAAUGGCACACACCUUAGAGUGUACCUAUGGUGGUUGAUUGGGCUAUAAGAAAUGUGAGUCCAUGUGAAGAUGCCAAAUAUAAUAACACGGCUAAUUACACAUGCAGUGGCAGCAGCAACAAGUGCAUGAAUUCCACAAAUGAUCUAGGGUACACAUGCAACUGUGUCCUUGAGUAUGACAACAACCCUUAUCUUCUAGACAAAUGCAUGGUAUGCUACUAAUUUAUUUGCUAAAUAUUCCAAUGAAUUGUGUCCUUUACUUUGUACAUACCCAAUUAUAAUAUUUUAUUUUGCUAAUACAAUGUAGCCUUCAAUUUAAACCAAGGUUUGCAUCCAUUAAUUAUGUUAGGUUCAUAUGACUUCACUACAUAAAUAGGUAGAUAAUGCAUAAGACUGAGAUUGUAGCUAGGGAUGAAAAUCUAAAUACGGCAUGAAUCUAACAAUUAUGAGUAAUGUCUUUGUGACAAGAACUUUCUUUGUCUUUUAUUCCCAUGUUUGAACUAGUAUAGGUCAGGGUUACACAUUAUGGUGCACAUCACUUUAUUUGUCAUCGUUACAUUGAACACUCAUUGACUAAACAACGAUGAUCCAUCCGUCUUGUAUUACAGGUCUUCAUUUCAUUGGCCACCGAUGCUUGUAAGACUACUCCCAGAUGGUUGUUGUUGUGGAUAUGGUUGUUGAGGUUGGUGUGGUUGCUGGGGGAAUGGUUGUUGGGGUUGCUGGGAAAUUGUUUGUUCUAGUUGCUGGGAUAAUUGUUGUUGGGGCUGCAGAAAUGGUUGUUGUGGUUGUUGUGGUUGCAGGAUGGAGGGUUGCUGGGAAAAUGGUUGUUGCGGUCGUAGGGGGAAUGGUUGUUGUGGUUGUAGAGGGAAAGGUUGUUGUGGUUGUUGAGGGAAUGGUUGUUGUGGUUGUUGGGGGAAUGAUUGUUGUGGUUGCAGGGGGAAUGGUUGUUGUGGUUGCUGGGGGAANNNNNNNNNNNNNNNNNNNNNNNNNNNNNNNNNNNNNNNNNNNNNNNNNNNNNNNNNNNNNNNNNNNNNNNNNNNNNNNNNNNNNNNNNNNNNNNNNNNNNNNNNNNNNNNNNNNNNNNNNNNNNNNNNNNNNNNNNNNNNNNNNNNNNNNNNNNNNNNNNNNNNNNNNNNNNNNNNNNNNNNNNNNNNNNNNNNNNNNNNNNNNNNNNNNNNNNNNNNNNNNNNNNNNNNNNNNNNNNNNNNNNNNNNNNNNNNNNNNNNNNNNNNNNNNNNNNNNNNNNNNNNNNNNNNNNNNNNNNNNNNNNNNNNNNNNNNNNNNNNNNNNNNNNNNNNNNNNNNNNNNNNNNNNNNNNNNNNNNNNNNNNNNNNNNNNNNNNNNNNNNNNNNNNNNNNNNNNNNNNNNNNNNNNNNNNNNNNNNUGGUUGCAGAGGGAACGAUUGUUGGGUCUGGGGAAAUGGUUGUUGUGGUUGCCAGGAAAAUGGUUGUUGGGGCUGUGGAAAAGGUUGUUGUGGUUGUUGGGGUUGCUGGGGGAAUGGUUGUUGUGGUUGUAAGGGGGUCGGUUGUUGGGGUUGGGGAAAUAAUUGUUGUGAUUGCUGGGGAAAUUGUUGUUGGGGUGUGGAAAAUGGUUGUUGUGAUGGAUAUGGUUGCUGUGAUGGAUAUGGUUGUUGUGGAUAUGGCUGUUGUGGAAAUAGUUUUUGUUGAUGGGAAAAUGAUUGUUGAGGUGAUUGUAACUCUUUGUUGUUAGGGUUUAGUUGCCUAGCGGCAAUGGCGGUGUUCAUCGCCAUGGCAAGGAGGACAAAGAUGAGGAAGGUCUUCAUGUUGGAUUUGUGGUUACUACUGCUUGCUUGCCUUUGAUGCUUGUGGUCUAGGUGUGUGAAGUUUUGUUGAUGGAAGGUGUCCUUGGUGGUGCAUGUGUAUUUAUAGUUUUCAUGGCAUGGCUUGCUUUCAUCUUUGCACUCGCUCUUUGAAAAAGUGCAUCAAUGCUUAUCCAACUAAUCAUUUGGUUUGUUGUGUUUGGUGCAACUACUUACUAGUGAGAUUUUGGAUUUUCAUGAUAGUUGUUUUUUGUUGAAAUCAUCUGGUUGUAAGGAAUGUUGGAUAAUGACCAAUGACUCAUCUUCUUCACUUUACACUGCAAACAUUGAUCUAGAUUAUGUCCCUUUUUGAAAUUUAGUUUGUGGAGCUCUACAUGUUGUUAGGCUUAUCCAUAUUGGCAUAGCUUGAGUGGAGCUAAGUUUGUAAGCUUGUGUGCGCCAUUAUGAUGGAUCACACUAUUAAUGUGAUGAUUGUUUUACAAAUUAUCUUUCCAAAACUAACUUUAUGUUUUUUGCCCAAUAUGAUUCUAAGACGGAUAACCAGACAUGACUCAUCAAAUAACAAGAUAAACCGAGUAGCAAGUUGGGGGUUAUAAGUUAUAAUAUGGACUUUUCUCUAAGAUACACCAUCUUGUCUUGCAUGCUCUGUGGAUUUGAAAAGCAUCUACUAAUUUAGAUGCAAUUGAAACAAAAGUAGACUAAAAAGGUAAGCAAUGAAAUGAGAAUACUAUUAUGUGAAGCUCUACAUGUCUGGUAAGCAGUGAGAUACUGGAUACAUCUAUAUCUUCAAUCCUUUCAUCCCUAUCAACUCUUUAUUGGCUGCUUUUAUCGUAGUCAUCCCUUAAAUAAAAAUCACUUAAAUAUAAGUUUGGGAGUUAGUACCAACAUAUAUCAUGUACAAGAUAGAAAACUAAGGCACAUAUAGUAGUCUAUUGACCAUAUUUAAUUUCUUGUGAUGUGAAAGCAUGUGGAGUAUAAGUUGGUUAAAUAUAAAGUUGUCCUUCAUACCAGUAGGGAAAGAAUAUGCAGUAUAAAGAUUAGAGCAUUGGACUAAUAUGCUAUUAAAUGCUACAGGAUAAUUGACAGUUCAAGUUAAGAACAACAUUAGCAUUCCAACUUUUGUCUUGUGCAAGUUAAGAACAUGCUAACAAAGUAACCUAAGCAAAUAAGUGCAAAACCUUCACCUAUAAGGAAAUUGUGAAACUACACAAAAUGACCUAUUGUAAAGAAGGAAAAAAAUCUAAAGGUGAAUGAAAGAACGUUAAGUACAUUCAGGAUUCGAUUAUGCCUUCAUGGAUAACCUUUUAGAUGGUGACAUGUCCAUGUUGAUGUGUGUCGGCAUGGAACGAGGACAAGAAGACGUCGUUGCGUCGUACUUUGGGAAUUUCAUCAAACUGGUUGUGUGCGGGAACAAAUAUUUGUCGCCUCCCUGCUCAAAUCUCUCUUCAUGUCACUGAAUCCGACACUCCACCUACCAAAAUCAGCUGCAAGCCAGGGAUAAUCAACGGGUUUCUCCGCCCGUAGCAUCUAUCACCAAAAGUAGUUCAGACUAUAGUCUUGUAGUUCAAAAUUUUGUAAUAACAAGCACUACUAGGUUGCUUUUGUUUGUACGUCUUCAUUCUGUACAACCCAUGGAACUAAAAAUGCAUUGGUCAUUCUUUGUUCUAUACAACCAAUUCAACCAAAAAUGCAUUGGGCUUUUCUUUGUACAUCUUCGGGUUCUACAACCAAUGCAACAAAAAAUCCAUUGGGUAGUCUUCCAUUCUAGUCGGGCACCAACAGUUAAAUGAGGAGCUAAACAAUGUUGGAGUCUAAAACUACAUACAAUCAUGAAGCAUAGAGAGGCGACUUGGAAGCUGUGCUCCUGUGAGCUCGUAUUUUUGUAGACAAAAAGUAAUGUUUGUAUUUUGAAGUGGGAAAAAAUCCUAAAAAGGGAUGUUUUGCGGGUUAUAACUUACUAUUUUUGGGUCCUGGGCUGCAGGAAGGUCGUCAAAAUCAAUGUGUUUUCCCAUUCAAUGCAUGUUUCUUGGGUUAUAGGUCACGCUUUUGGUGUCCUAGGGAGAUCACUUCCCCGGUCAAGAACAUUAGGUGAUGAUUUUUAGAAAAACUCAUUGUUUUAGCCUAACUAGUUUCGAGGAUUGGUGGACGGGAUUAUCAUGGAACAAAGUGACAACCUUCCUUUUCUUCAUGCCUAAUAUAAACUUAGCAGUCAGCUAAAAGUAACUAGCGAUAUCACAGAAUGUUUUUUGUCAAAAGUAGAUACCACUUCAGGAUUCAACUCGGUUAGUUCAAUCACAGACAUGUUAAGAGCAGGAUUUACAACUAACUGCAUAGGGAACAUCUCCUUUUAUCACCCACUAUCUGUCUGUGCACUUUGGUUUUCCCGUAGCAUCACACAAAGCACUUUGUUAGUACCAAUAAUGUGCUCCAACUCUACACAUUAAUCAUCUUGAAUUCUUCUACUGAUGUCGAACAAUGUAAUAUCUUGAAUUCUUCUAACGAGUUCGGAUUAGACUACAUGGGCAAUUUAUCUGGUCCCUGAGAUGCAAGGUCGAUGAACAAUCGCUUCGUCUUAUGACGAGGGGUUGUUUUUGCCUAAGAAACUAAUACAUGUAACUUCGACACCGGAUUAAUAAAUGGUAAAACCUAAAUAAAUUAGAUCACGAGCUAAACCAUUUACUUUUGUAUGCAUUUAAACUUUUGAUACAUAUGAGCUUGUUAAGAUGUUCGCAUAAACACCAUGGUGAUUUGAAGCAAGACAAAGUAAACUUGAACCGCUUGAGCCACUGACUUAAUAAGAACCUCCUUUCCCGCGGCAGAGAUUGUUUUUAAUACAUCCACUCACUUUGGCCCAUAGUUUGUCUUUGAGAUACUUAAAAGCACUAGACAUAGAAUUGACAAUAUUAGAAGGCAAGCCCAAAUAUUUCACAUUUAGUGUUUCUACUUGGACACUGAGACCACCUUUGACCUCAUUUUUGACAUUCUCUCUGCAAUCCUUGCUGAGAAACACUGAAGGCUUCCUAUUUAUUUAUUCUUGACCUAAAGCUUCAUUGCGUCUUGCCUUGGUCUUGCACUACUUGCGGCACAAUACGCCUUUGGAACUGCCGUUCCGAAUUCAGAGUGCCGAAGGUGGUGUGACGAUGUUGAGAUACCGUACUCGUUCGGUAGUGAUUCGGGUUGAUCAUUCAGAGUAGACUUUGACAAUAGCUGCAAGGACAAGAUUGCAUUAGGGAGCCUUUUAAUUACACCUCGGAGGUGCUCAGCAUCUUCUUGAUGAACAACAUGGUCCUAGUGUUGAAUAAUAUCAUAUGGGGUAGUGCUACAACAACUCCACCACAAGCAUGGAGGAAUUUAGCAAAUUCCAUCAGUACUAGGAGAAAGCCUAGUAGCAACGCGAGGUAAAGGACUACUAGUAGCGCGGGUGCCCACGCUACUACUAGGGUGCUACAGCUAAUUGGUAGUAGUAGCGUGGGUGACACCCUGCGCUACUACCACGUCUGUUAGUAUAGUAGCGCGAGUGUCACCCGCACUACUACUAGUUAUCUGUAGCCCGGGUCUGACCCCACGCUACUACUAACUAAUUAGGAAUUAAAAAAAUAAAUUCCAUCCAUGGUUGCUGCUGCUGGGCGUCAUCGUCCUCUCCGUCCAUGGCUGAUGUUGGUCCUGGAGGGGAUGACGUCGUCCAUGGUGAUGGUACUUCCUCACCCAAAUCGUCCCCACACCUCUCCUAUGCUACUGCUACAAAAUAAGAGAAAACGAUUAGAAGAGGAAGAGAGAUAUUGAGAGGAGUAGGAGGAGCAACUGACCGGUGGCCGCCGGAGUUGGAGCUGAUGCCCGAAACCCUAGACGAUGCCCGGUGACCUGUUGCUUCUUUUCCUGGGACCUCAUGUCCUCACAAGGCCAUGUCUCAGCGAGGAAGUGCAAGUGGUUGCGUAGCAGAUCUGUUCAUCGCCAUUGGUGGCGCUCUGUUGGAUCUUCCUCUCCUUCCAGCAUCGGAGAAGGAGGAGGAAGGAGGCGAAGGUGAGGCGUAAGUCAGUGGCCCAAAAUUUUUAUAUAGAUGAGACUUACUAAGUAAUAACCCCAUAGAAUCUAUCUAUAUAAAGAUAAAGAGGCAAUCGUGUCAGGAAGCGGGUUUUUCUUUGGCCAAAAGGUACUUAGAACUUGGAACGAGCAUGAAGAGAUUAACGAGACUUCUUUCUCUUUUGAGUUUUUCUGGCGGACCUGCCGCGCAAGAUCUUUGGUCUUCCCCUGGAACCGAUGAAAAAAAGUGGAUUGCUUCUUAUGUACUCGCUCAGCUUAAGAUGCUCGCAUAAUCCCCGUGGUAAUUUGAAGCAAUACAUAGAGUAAACUAGAACUGCUUGAGCCACUAACUUAAUGAGAACCUCCUUUCCCGUAGGAUAUAUCAUUUUUUCAAUCCAUCCAUUCACUUUGGCCCAUAGUAUGUCUUUGAGAUACUUAAAAGCAGUAGAUUAGAAUUACCAAUAUCAUAAGGCAAGCCCAAAUAUUUCUCAUUUAGUGUUUCUGUUGGACACUGAGAACACCUUUGACCUCAUAUCUAACAUUCUCUACACAACCCUUGCUGAGAAACACUGAAGACUUGCUAUUAUUUAUUCUUUGACCUGAAACUUGGCAAUAGGUUUGACACAUCUGUCGCCCCUGAACCAUUUGCCUUGAAAAACAGCAGGCUGUCAUCUGCAAAUAACAAGUGGUUAACUGAUGCCACCAAAGGAGCUACUUGGAUUCCAGUAAACUGGGAUGACUAGUCUCUAGAUUUGAGGAGGCCCGAAAGGCCAUGUACUGCUAACAGGAAAAUCAAGGUGAAUUGGAUCUUGCUGCCGUAUACCACGGGUAGGUUUGAGCUCAUCAAGUUUCUUGCUCUUGAAUAAAAUUGAAUAAGAUACAGAAGCUACCAUGCUCAUUUCUAUGGAGGCCCAUUUAACAGAGAAUCCAAAGUUGAGAUUUAUCACCUCCAAAUACGCCCAUUCAACUAGAUUAUAAGCCUUCAUCAUAUCCAAUUUUAGAGUACAAUGGUGAUGUUACAAUGACUUAUUCCUUUUCAUGAAAUGUAAGCACUCGUAGGCCACGAUUAUAUUGUCAGUGAUAAGGCGACCCGGAACAGAAGCCGACUCUUCACUCAAUAUUAUCUCCGGAAGGGCCCCUUUUAGCCGGUUAGCCAGAACUUUGGGUGUUAUUUGUAAAGUUGCAUAGGCUAAUACGACAGAACUGGCUUAGGAAAGUACCAUUUUGUACCUCAUCACUAUCCUCGCCACAAUACAAAGGACAACCAUUGUUACCUCCUCGCCGCAAAUAUCCCAAUGUUUCUCAAAGAAAUGUUCAAAGAAUCCGUCCGGGCCCAAGGCCUUCAUGCGGAACAUUUGAAACAAUACAAUUUAAACCUUGUUGUAGAAUACUUAGCGUCAAGGAAGGCAUUCAUCGCAUCACUGACCUUUACUGGAACCAAGUCAGGAAAUCAUGCAUAUUAGAAACAGUCUCAGAAGUGAAAAGCUCCGAGUAAAACUAUGUUGUGAUCUCUUCCAAUUCCUUAAGAACACUGAUAACAUCACAUUAGGUUGCUACAAUGAUUUGGUCAAAUUAUUCCGCCUUCUCAUCGAAGCCCUUAAGUGAAAGAAGCAUGUGGUCUUGUCCCCACUAAUCAGCCACUUAAUCUGAGAUCUAGUAGGCAAGAUGAGUGACGGGAAGUAGUUCGGAACAAUUUCCUCUUAUUCACUUCUAAAACAAAUUUUCGGUUUUUGUCGUUCCUAAGCCAAGGAUUUGAUAAAUAUUCAUAAAUUUUUAAAAUGUUCACCAAUAUUAAAAACAUCAUGAUUUUAAAAAACCGUGAUUUUUAAACAAAAUCAUAAAUAUGAAAAUUGCCAUUCACAAAAUUUUAAAAUAAAAUCAUGAAUUUUAAAAGAAUUUUCAAAAUUUUGAUAAAUAUCUACGAAUUUUACAACUUUGAUGAAUUUUAAAAACAAACCAUAACAAAAAAACACUAGCAAGUUCGAUCCUAAAAAAUGCCUUGCCUUCUACUAUGCGUAGCGUGCAUGGACAGCCGGACCUAGACACCCUAGACCAAAAACCCUACAUCUGGGCCAGGCCCGAGCUCCAUUUUUUGGCCCAAAGCCCAGCCCAAAAAGGCAGAAAUGGUAAGAAAUGUAUACUUUAUUCAAAAUAUAGGUAUAUUAUAUUGUUUUAGUAUCUCAAAUAAUUAUUUAAAUUGAAAAAUGUCGUUGUUCAUGUGUUUCUGGACGGGCCAAGCCAGGCUCAUGCUUGGGAUUUUUGCUUCGGGCUUUGACAACCUGGCCCGGGGUAUGAUCAAGUUCAGCAUGGCCCAGUCACACACCCUUGUACAACAUUUUGUUGUAGAGAGCGGCAAAUAUAAUUUUCCCGAUCUAAUAUUGCUCGCUAUAAGUCUAUAUCUAUACUUUUUUCUAUACCCAUACUAAUAAAGCAAGGUGCGUUUCCCCAAUUUUUUCAUUCAUUCACUGUCGAAAACAAUUAUGUUUCCUAUCCGAGGUGGUCCUAAAUUCUUAUGCGUUCAUCUGCUAAAAGAAAGGCUUUUCCGGAAUUUCUUACGUGGGUUGCGCGCUAUGGCCAGUGAAGUCAGCCCACUUAUUUUUCUGCCCAUGCAGCUCUAAAAAAUCUAUUUAACACACAGGGCAAGAAAUAGUCGGCACUUCAAACUGGAAAACAAAUAAUGGGCUAGCCAAUUUUUCUUUGUUUCUGUGUUUUAUUUCUAUUUUUAUUCUCCUUCCCCGAUUUCUUUUUUCACUUCCAAGUUUACAUUUCUUAUAGAAUUUAUUUUAUAAAUUCAAAAUUCUCAAAAAACAUAGAGAAUUUUAAAAAAAUGGAAAAUGUUCAUAACUCCAAUUUUUUUGCUAUUUAAAUUUUUUUCAGAACUUGAAUUUUUUCCCUUUUUCCGAAAAUUUUAUUGUUUUUUAAAAUUGUUAGAGAUUUCUAAAAAGAAAAUGGAAAUUUAAAAAGUCUUCCAAAUUCGAAAAAAAAUCAUGUUUUAGUGAAAUUUUCACAACUCAAAUUAUUCUUAAAAAAUACACAUUUUAAAAAGUAAGGAUUUUCAAUACAUGUUCCCGUUCUAAAAAAAUGUUGACAAAUUCAAAUAAUGUUCAUGUUUUUAUUUUAAAAGUUCGUGUUUUCAAAAAUGUUUGUAAAUUCUAAAAGAUGUUCCUAUUUCAUAUUUUGUUCAUGUUUUUCUGAAAGUGUACCUAAUUUUCAAAAAACUGUUCAGGAUUUAAAAAAUGGUUCAUGUUGCCUACAAUAUUGAGAAACUUCAUACCUUAAAAUCUCCUCGAUUGAAGGAACCAUAGAUUGAAUAAUUCAUGGGCCUUCUCUGGUGGACGAUGACGUAGCAAAACUCUUAAAUGCCCUCAAUCAAUGAAUGGAAAAAUAGCGAAUUGAGUACUUCACACCCAGCGAAACAAAGAAGCUAAAUGUUCCCUUUUUACGUGCGCACAGGGUUUUGCUUGCACAAAUAAUUCUCACUAACUUCCAAUGCAUACUAAUUUUUCUCCCAUUGCGAAGCACAAGCAUAUGUGCUAGUUUUAUCCACGGUGGUACUAAAUUUUUUUGAGUCCAUCUGCUAGAAAAAGGAAAAACAGUUUUGUCAAAAUUUUCGUACAUGGGCCGCGCGCGCUGUGGCCCAGCGAAGCUGGCCCAUUUAUUUCCGGCCGAAGCAGCUGAGAAUAAUUAUUUAACGCUUGGGGCGGCAAAUAGACAAAGUUUCGCAUAGGGCGCCAAAUAUUUGGUCGGCCCAUAUUUGUUUUCUCUCUAGUUUGUUUCUUUUUUUAUUUUCCUUUCUCCUUUUCUUAUCUCUUUACUUUUUCUUUUUUCCCUUUCAAGUUAAUUUUUCUUUUCUCCUUUUCCAUAAAUUAAAUUUUUCAAUAUUUCAGAAUUUUAGUUUUGGAUUAAAUUUUCGUAAAAUCUUCAUAAUUAUUUCUCCCCAUUUUGAAUUGUUUUUAAACUAUAAUUUUUUCUUCUUCUUCUUCCAAAAUUUAUUCAAAACUAUAGAAUAAAGUUCGCAUAUUAAUUUUUUUAUGCUUUCCAAAAUUGUUUGAUAUUUUCAAAAUAUAUUGCAUUAAAAAAUUAAAUAUUUAGAUUUUAUUGAAAUGUUAAUUCAAAGUAAUGUUUGUGUUUAAAAACAUGUUUUUCAAAAUUCUUUUCAAUGUCCAAAACACGUUUUCAUUUCCAAAAAAAAUCACGUAUUCAAAACAUGUUUGCUUUCUUAUAAUAGGUUCAUGUUUUCAAAAAACAUAAAUUUCAAAAAAAUUGUCACAUCUUAAAGAAUAUUCAAAAUAUCGUAAUUAUUACUUUAUUUUUUGAAAAAAAUCAAGAAAAACAGAAAAAAAAAUGUAUAUUAUGCUACAGUAUAUUCUUAAAAUUUCGCCCUCGCCAUUUGUUAGCAUGAGCUGUUUGUUCGAGUGGCUAGCAGCACGUGGUCGAGUUUUUGAGGUCAUGAGUUUGAUCCUUCAACUCAGUGGUUGUUUUGGAUUUUUAUUCACGCCUUACAAAUACAAGUCAUUUUGGUACCUGCCAGCGGCCUUGCCAGACUCGAACUGCCGUGCAUCCGACGUGCUAUUUGACGAUAAAAGAGAAUAUGUUGCUUGACUAUAAUUAAAAAAAUGUGGGCACAUGCCAAUAAAAGAGGAUAUGCUGGUUUGACUCUGAUUAAAAAAAUGUUGGCAAGUGAGCGUCGAAAUAAUUAAAGAGAAUAAACCCUGGUAAAGUAGGGACUACCUGGUUACGUGCUUAUUAUACCAAAGAAACGGGAUUUCCUGCAAUUAGUACUUCAACCGGUUACACCAUCAUAGGAGAGAGUAGUCGAAGCAACUAUGCCACGAAGGUCGCCGUGCUGCACAAAAUGAGGAGGCAACCGCAACCUAGACACGGAGGCAGACUCGGAGAAAAAAAAGCGCAAGUUGGGUGGUGGCCACCACUCCAGCAACCCCAUCAAUAUCAAGAACUCGUGGGCCAAACAUGAUCUCAAGAACAUCGCCGGGGAGACCUUUUGAUGGACACAUCAAUUAUCUCUCCUGAUACUUCUCGUUAAAAAUAUCUUUCUAGUUCUAACGCACGGGCAUAUGUGCUAGUGAUAUAUAAAAUAUGUUGUGCCAAUGAGCACACGGGCUAGCGAGACUCGCCAUGCUUUCAUGUCAUACCGGAGUCCAAACACUCAACUGGAGGGUCCAACCUUAGCGACAGAGUCUUCUUUUGUUGGGAGAAUCUAUAUAUCCGCGAGUGUUAUAUCUCGCAUCUGGUUUACGCGCAGUGCACCUAACCACUAGGCUUUGCCUUACAUUCAUGACAGAGUAGUAAAGCUAGAUUGUUUAAGUCCACACGAGUCAAGGUUUUCAAUGUUUCUUCUCCAUUUUUUUUCAUUUUUUCAUUUUUGUUUUUAUAUUUAUUUCUGUCGGGUUUGUUUGAUCCCUUUCGAGGGCAUAAUAGAGGAACCACACCGUGGUGAUGUGGAUGGGUUUAUAGAUACCAUCACUGUAGGGGAAACGAGGAAGGUUUUCGAUGCACGAAUCACUAGCAUACAUUUUCAUGUUUUACGCUAAUUUGCAAUAUUUGCUAGUCGUUGCUUAAUUGGUUGCGGAAACUGUGGAAACCUUAGUGUUCCUGAUAUUAUUAUUUUGUUCCACGGUUUAUUCUGUGAUAACUCUAUUAGUAUGGGCGGUAUUAUUCCUAAAUGGUUAAGUCUGAACUGUACAAAGGGCCCCAUCUUUGGAGGCAUCUAUGCUUCACACCUAGCUGCGCAUUUUAACAUAGCUAUUAGGCAUUAUGAGAAGGAAGAAAAAUUGCUACCCCCUGUUUAUUUAGAUUAUAAUAGUAUGGUGGCACAUGAUUUUAUUGUUAAGAAUAAGGAAGGGGAGCUUAAAUACAAAUUGUUCUUUGAUAAACAUCAUCCUGAGACUAUUACCCUGCCUGCUCCUUCCUUGUUUGAUUUAUCUGCAGGCAAGUACCUCGUUCCAUUAGAGGCUAUUCACGCCUACCGAAACCCUACAUCAGCCAUAGAGCCAGAGUCGGAACCACAAGUUGAUUCUCCAUGACAGUCUAAUUACCAUUGGGAUCCAGAAAUGAUUGCCACCAGUGGCAAUCAGAGUCUUCUUCGCAGUACGACCCCAACUAUUACUAUGGAUAUCCGCCAGGCCAGCCGUGGCCAUAGACCAACUUAGGUCAAAAGCCUAAACUUGGGGGAGUACGUAUUUCCCGCCGACAUUACAUUCAUGUUCGCACACUCAUUGCUAGAUGUCGGUGCUCAUACUUUUUCAUUGUAUCAUCCAUACUAGUUCAUUUCCUUUUUAAGCUUUCUUCUUGUGUGUUUAAUAAACCUUAAGAAAAACCAAAAACAUUAGUUGUAGCUUUUAGCUAGUUUUAAUUUCCAUGCUCGUAGUAGUAAUUAAAAAGAAAACCCAAAAAAAAGAUUUCAUGUUCUUCUUUUGCUUGUUGGGAGCUUUCCCGUGUAAAUAGUUUUAUUUCUUUUCUUUUCUUUGGGGGUCGAUAGGAGAAGACCAUGAUUAAAUUGUUGAAGUGGCUCUUAUAUGUAUUUUUGUUGAUCUGACAAAAGAGCCCAUAUUGCCUCGACUUCUCCUGUUUAUUGAAUGCUUGCAGAUUCCAGCUUAGUCCAAUGCACGUGCACUAUUAUUAUUAUCCACAUCAUUCGGUCGUGCAAGUGAAAGGCAAUUAUGACGAUAUAUGAUGGACUGACUGAGAUGAGAAAAGCUGGUAUGAACUCAACCUGUCUUGUUUUUGUAAAUAUGAUUAGUUCAUCGUUCCUGAUUCAGCCUAUUAUGAAUAAACAUGUUUGCAAUGACAACUAGAGAUCAUAGUUUCUUGUGCCAUGCUUGAUUAGCUAGGAGCUUAUAAUGGUUUACCUUGCGUGCCAACAUGCUAUUAAAAUGGUUGUGAUGUGGUAUGAUAGGGUGGUAUCCUCCUCUGAACGAUUCGAGUGGCUUGACUUGGCACAUAUUCACGCAUGUAGUUGAAACAAAAUCAACAUAGCCUCUACGAUAUUUAUGUUCAUGGUGAAUUAUAUCCUACUCAUGCUUGCAUUCGGUGCUGAUUAAUUUUAAUGCAUGUUUAUGACUGUUGUCGCUCUCUAGCUGGUCGCUUCCCAGUCUUUUGCUAGCCUUCACCUAUACUAAGCGGGAAUACUACUUGUGCAUCCAAUCCCAUAAACCCCAAAGUUAUUCCAUAUGAGUCCACCAUACCUACCUAUUUACGGUAUCUACCUGCCGUUGCAAGUAAAUUUGUAUGUGCCAAACUCUAAACCUUCAAAUAAAUAUCAUGUUUUGUAUGCUCGAAUAGCUCAUGUAUCAACUAGGUUUGUCUGUAUCUUUCAUGUUAGGCGGGUUAUUCUCAAGAGGAGUGGACUCCGCUCCUCACUCGCGAGAAAAUGGCUGGUCACCCGGAUGCCUAGUCCCAUGCUUUAUGCAAAUCAAAUCAAAAUAAUUGCAAACAAAAUUGCCCCUGGGACUCUUGUUAGUUGGAGGCACUCGUUGUUUCGAGCAAGCCAUGGAUUGAUGCUUGUUGGUGGAGGGGGGGUAUAAAAUUUUCCAUUCUGUUUGGGAACCGCCUAUAAUGUGUGUAGCAUGGAAGAUAUCACCAUCUCUUGGUUGUUAUGUUGACAAUGAAAGUAUACCGCUCAAAAUAUUAUUUACCUCUAUUUCAAAAUCGAGCUCUGGCACCUCUACAAAUCCCUGCUUCCCUCUGCGAAGGGCCUAUCUAUUUACUUUUAUGUUGAGUCAUCAUCCUCUUAUUAAAAUGCACCAGUUGGAGAGCACCGUUGUCAUUUGCAUUCAUUACUAUUAUUUUACAUUGAAUAUGACUUGACUGGAUCUCUUUUACCAUGAAUUACAAUGUCUAGUCAGUCCUUGAUCUUUAAAGGUGCUCUACAUUUAUGUUUUGCGGUCUCAGAAAGGGCUAGCGAGAUACCAUCUUGUUAUAUCAUAUCAUGAUUGUUUUGAGAAAGUGUUGUCAUCCGAGAUUUAUUGUUAUUGCUCGCUAGUUGAUUAUGCCAUUGAUAUGAGUAAACAUGAUACAUAAAUGUUAUUGGAAUAUGGUUAGUUCAUAAUCUUUGCUGAAAACUUGAAUGCUGGCUCUACAUAUUUACAACAACAAGAGCAAACAGAGUUUGUAAAAGUUUUUCUUUAUCACUUUCAGUUUAUCAACUGAAUUGCUUGAGGACAAGCAAAGGUUUAAGCUUGAGGGAGUUGAUACGUCUCCGUCGUAUCUACUUUUCCAAACACUUUUGCCCUUGUUUUGGACUCUAACUUGCAUGAUUUGAAUGGAACUAACCCGGACUGACGUUGUUUUCAGCAGAAUUGCCAUGGUGUUAUUUUUGUGCAGAAAUAAAAGUUCUCGGAAUGACCUAAAAAUCAAAGGAGAAUUAUUUUGAAAUAUAUAAAAAAUAUUGGAAGGAAGAUCCACGUCAGGGGGGCCUCCACCUGUCCACGAGGGUGGAGAGCGUGCCCUACCCCCCUGGUGCUACCUCUUGAGCACUGCGUUGGUUUUCCCUUGAAGAGGAAAGGGUGAUGCAGUAAAGUAGUGUAAGUAUUUCCCUCAGUUUUUGAGAACCAAGGUAUCAAUCAAGUAGGAGAUCACGCUCGAGUCCCGCGCACCUACACAAACAAAUAAGAACCUCGCAACCAAUGCAAUAAAGGGGUUGUCAAUCCCUUCACGGUCACUUACGAGAGUGAGAUGUGAUAGAUAGGAUAAGAUAAUAUUUUUGGUAUUUUUAUGAUAAAGAGAAAUAAAGAUGCAAAGUAAAAUAAACAGCAAUAGAAAUAACUAAGUAUCACCUGGGCGCACCCCCCUGCCUCGUGGACCCCCUGACGCUCCACCGACCUCAACCCUGACUCCAUAUAUUCACUUUCGGGGAGAAAAAAACCAGAGAGAAAGAUUCAUCAUGUUUUACGAUAUGGAGCCGCCGCCAAGCCCUAAACUCUCUCGGGAGGGCUGAUCUGGAGUCUGUUCGGGGCUCCGGAGAGGGGAAUCCGUCGCCAUCGUCAUCAUCAACCUUCCUCCAUCACCAAUUUCAUGAUGCUCACCGCCGUGCGUGAGUAAUUCCAUCGUAGGCUUGCUGGACGGUGAUGGGUUGGAUGAGAUUUAUCAUGUAAUCAAGUUAGUUUUGUUAGGGUUUGAUCCCUAGUAUCCACUAUGUUCUGAGAUUGAUGUUGCUAUGACUUUGCUAUGCUUAAUGCUUGUCACUAGGGCCCGAGUGCCAUGAUUUCAGAUCUGAACCUAUUAUGUUUUCAUCAAUAUAUGAGUGUUCUUGAUCCUAUCUUGCAAGUCUAUAGUCACCUACUAUGUGUUAUGAUCCGGCAACCCCGAAGUGACAAUAAUCGGGACCACUCCUGGUGAUGAUCGUAGUUUGAGGAGUUCAUGUAUUCACUAUGUGUUAAUGCUUUGGUCUGGUACUCUAUUAAAAGGAGGCCUUAAUAUCCCUUAGUUUCCGCUAGGACCCUGCUGCCACGGGAGGGUAGGACAAAAGAUGUCAUGCAAGUUCUUUUCCAUAAGCACGUAUGACUAUAUUCGGAAUACAUGCCUACAUUACAUUGAUGAAUUGGAGCUAUUUCUGUGUCACCCUAGAUUAUGACUGUUACAUGAUGAACCGCAUCCGACAUAAUUCUCUAUCACCAAUCCAUUGCCUACGAGCUUUCCAUAUAUUGUUCUUUGCUUAUUUACUUUUCCGUUGCUAUUGCUAUCAUCACUAUAAAACAACAAAAACAUUACUUUUGCUAUCGUUACCUUUUGCUACCGUUACCACUACUAUCAUAUUACUUUGCUACUAAACACUUUGCUGGAGAUAUUAAGUUUCCUGGUGUGGUUGAAUUGACAACUCAGCUGCUAAUACUUGAGAGUAUUCUUUGGCUCCCCUUGUGUCGAAUCAAUAAAUUUGGGUUCAAUACUCUACCCUCGAAAACUGUUGCGAUCCCCUAUACUUGUGGGUUAUCAUUGCUCCUGCAGCGGGUCUUGCACCUAGCGGUGCUUCUAGGACGUAAUUCUUCUGUGUAGCAAUGAGGAUAAUUCUCAAGUUAUGGACCCAGUCCGUGUAGUUGCUACCAUCAUCUUUCAACUUAGCUUUCUCUACGAACGCAUUAAAAUUCAAAGGAACAGUAGCAGGGGCCAUUGAUCUACAAUAACAUAGACAUGCAAAAUACUAUUAGGUGCUAAGUUCAUGAUAAAUUAAAGUUCAAUUAAUCAUAUUACUUAAGAACUCCCACUUAGAUAGACAUCCCUCUAGUCAUCCAAAUGAUCACGUGAUCCAUAUCAACUAAACCAUGUCUGAUCAUCACGUGAGAUGGAGUAGUUUCAAUGGUGAACAUCACUAUGUUGAUCAUAUCUACUAUAUGAUUCACGCUCGACCUUUCGGUCUCAGUGUUCCGAGGCCAUAUCUGCAUAUGCUAGGCUCGUCAAGUUUAACCCGAGUAUUCUGCGUGUGCAAAACUGGCUUGCACCCGUUGUAUGUGAACGUAGAGCUUAUCACACCCGGUUAUCACGUGGUGUCUCGGCACGAUGAACUAUAGCAAUGGUGCAUACUCAGAGAGAACACUUGUACCUUGAAAUUUAGUGAGAGAUCAUCUUAUAAUGCUACCGCCGUACUAAGCAAAAUAAGAUGCAUAAAGGAUAAACAUCACAUGCAAUCAAAAUAAGUGAUAUGAUAUGGCCAUCAUCAUCUUGUGCCUUUGAUCUCCAUCUCCAAAGAACCGUUAUGAUCACCAUCAUCACCGGCUUGACACCUUGAUCUCCAUCGUAGCAUCGUUGUCAUCUCGCCAACUAUUGCUUCUACGACUACCGCUACCGCUUAGUGAUAAAGUAAAGCAAAAACAAGUGUGAUGUCCUCUACUUUGUUGUUGCAAGUUUUACGUGGCUGCUACGGGCUUCUAGCAAGAACCGUUCUUAUCUACGCCUCAAAACCACAACAAUUUUUCGUCAAGUGUGUUGUUUUAACCUUCAACAAGGAUCGGGCGUAGUCAAACUCGAUUCAACUAAAGUUGGAGAAAUAGACACCCACUAGCCACCCGUGUGUGAAGCACCUCGGUAGAACCAGUCUCAUGAACGCGGUCAUGUAAUGUCGGUCUGAGCCACUUCAUCCAACAAUACCGCCAAAUCAAAGUAAGACGUUGCUGGUAAGAAGUAUGACUAUUAUCGUCCACAACUCAUUGUGUUCUACUCAUGCAUAUAACAUCUACGCAUAGACCUGGCCCGGAUGUCACUGUUGGGAAACGUAUUAUUUCAAAAAAAAAUCCUACAAUCACGCAAGAUAUAUCUAGGAGAAGCAUAGCAAUGAGCGGGGAGAGUGUGUCCACGUACCCUCGUAGACCGAAAGCGGAAGCAUUUAGUAACACGGUUGAUGUAGUCGAACGUCUUUGCGAUCCAACCAAUCCAAACACCUAACGUACGGCACCUCCGCAUUCAGCACACGUUCAGCUCGAUGACAUCCCUCGAGCUCUUGAUCUAGUUGAGGCCGAGGGAUAGUUCCGUCAUCGCGAUGGCGUGGCGACGGUGAUGAUGAAGUUACCGGCGCAGGGCUUCGCCUAAGCACUACGACGAUAUGACCGAGGUGUGUAACUGUGGAGGGGGGCACCGCACACGGCUAAGAGAAACUUGUGUCUUUGGGGUGCCCCCUCCCACGUAUAUAAAUGGAGGGAGGAGGCCGGCCCAAGGGGGGGCGCCACAUGUGGGGAGUCCUACUAGGACUCCCUUGUCCUAGUAGGAUUCCCCUCUCCUUUCCUUUUACGGAGGGGGAAAGGGGGGAAGGAGAGGAGGGGAAGAGGGAAAGGGGGGCACGCCCCCUCCCCUUCCUAUUCGGACUCCACUUGGGGGGGACGCGCACGCCUCCCCCUUGUGGGUUGUCCCCUCUUCUCUCCCAUGGCCCAUAAGGCCCAUGAUUUCCCCCAGGGGGUUCCCGUAACCUCCCGGUACUCCGAAAAAAUUCCCGAAUCACUCGGAAUCAUUCCGAUGUUCAAAUGCAACCUUACAAUAUAUGAAUCUUUACCUCUCAACCAUUUUCGUGAUCUCAUCUGGGACUCCGAACAAACUUCAGUCAUCAAAUCACAUAACUCAUAAUACAAAUUGGCAUCGAACGUUAAGUGUGUGGACCCUACGGGUUUGAGAACUAUGUAGACAUGACCGAGACACAUCUCCGGUCAAUAACCAAUAGCGGAACCUAGAUGCUCAUAUUGGCUCCUACAUAUCUACGAAGAUCUUUAUCGGUCAAACCGCAUAACAACAUACGUUGUUCCCUUUGUCAUAUGUAUGUUAUUUGCCCGAGAUUCGCUCGUCGGUAUCCUCAUACCUAGUUCUAUCUCGUUACCGGCAAGUCUCUUUACUUGUUCCAUAAUGCAUCAUCUGGUAACUAACUCAUUAGUCACAUUGCUUGCAAGGCUUAUAGUGAUGUGCAUUACCGAGAGGGCCCAUAUAUACCUCUCUGAUACACGGAGUGACAAAUCCUAAUCUCGAUCUAUGCCAACUCAAGAAACACCAUCGGAGACACCUGUAGAGCAUCUUUAUAAUCACCCAGUUACGUUGUGAUGUUUGAUAGCACACUAAGUGUUCCUCCGGUAUUCGGGAAUUGCAUAAUCUCAUAGUCAUAGGAACAUGUAUAAGUCAUGAAGAAAGCAAUAGCAAUAAAAUUAAACGAUCAUUGUGCUAAGAUAACGGAUGGGUCUUGUCCAUCACAUCAUUCUCUAAUGAUGUGAUCCCGUUCAUCAAAUUACAACACAUGUCUAUGGUUAGGAAACUUAACCAUCUUUGAUUAACGAGCUAGUCUAGUAGAGGCAUACUAGGGACACUCUGUUUGUCUAUGUAUUCACACAUGUACUAAGUUUCCGGUUAAUACAAUUUUAGCAUGAAUAAUAAAGAUUUAUCAUGAUAUAAGGAAAUAUAAAUAACAACUUUAUUAUUGCCUCUAGGGCAUAUUUCCUUCAGGAAGAGCAUUGCGGGUGGGAGGGAGAAGGGGAAUUAAGAGAGUGUAGGUUUCGGUUUGGGCCUCCGCGCGCUAUGUGUACACAUGUGUUGGUGGGUCAAUAGUAGUGGCGCCAGGUUUAUACCCCACACUACUACUAUGGCCUAUCCCGGGGGUACGAUAGAGACCACUUAGUAGUAGCGAGGGAUUUAUACCCCUCGGUACUACUAUCAACUUAGUACUAGUGAGGGAUUUAUACCCCUUGCUACUACUAUCAACUUAGUAGUAGUGAGGGAUUUAUACCCCUCGAUACUACUAUGGCCAGUCCCGGGGGGCACGGUGGAGACCACUUAGUAGUAGUGUGGGGUUUAUACCGCUCGCUACUACUAUCAACUUAGUAGUAGCGUGGGUUCUAUACCCCUCUCUACUAAUAAUUAGCAGCAGUGUGGCCCAUAUACCCCUUGCUACUGUUAAGCAUCUAUCUAUAAAUUAUUUUCUAGUAGUGCAUCAAUGGCGGCGAAAUCAGUCAUUCUGCUUGUUUUCCCUACUAGCUCUCUGACGUCCAGAACAAGUUUACGGUCAUAAGGUGCAAUGCCCUUGCCUUCAUGAGUGACACGAUGACACGGGAACGGGCUUCCAAGCCUAUGGUGUCGCAUCGUGUCGUGGUCUGCUAAACUUAGUGGACGGAUGCUACUCCAAUAUCGGUUGAUCCUAUACUACGGUACCAAGGAAGACACGCAACUACUAUAUAUAUUUCUUCAAGUCAGUCAACACAAGUAAACUCUGGGAGUUCAACUGGUGCAGCUAUGCAAUGCUAAUGGAGACAACACAAUUCAACUUUAGCACUUCACACAUAAGAAAAACCACGUUCAAUGGCACACACCUUAGAGUGUACCUAUGGUGGUUGAAUGGGCUAUAAGAAAUGUGAGUCCAUGUGAAGAUGCCAAACAUAAUAACACGGCUAAUUACACAUGCAGUGGCAGCAGCAACAAGUGCGUGAAUUCAACAAAUGAUCUAGGGUACACAUGCAACGGUGUCCUUGAGUAUGACAACAACCCUUAUCUUCUAGACAAAUGCAUGGUAUGCUACUAAUUUAUUUGCUACAAAUUCCAAUGAAUUGUGUCCUUUGCUUUGUACAUACCCAAUUAUAAUAUUUUAUUAUGCUAAUACAAUGUAGCCUUCAAUUUAAACCAAGGUUUGCAUCCAUUAAUUAUGUUAGGUUCAUAUGACUUCACUACAUAAAUAGGUAGAUAAUGCAUAAGACUGAGAUUGUAGCUAGGGAUGAAAAUCUAAAUACGGCAUGAAUCUAACAAUUAUGAGUAAUGUCUUUGUGACAAGAACUUUCUUUGUCUUUUAUUCCCAUGUUUGAACUAGUAUAGGUCAGGGUUACACAUUAUGGUGCACAUCACUUUAUUUGUCACCGUUACAUUGAACACCCAUUGACUAAACAACGAUAAUCCAUCCGUCUUGUAUUACAGGUCUUCAUUUCAUUGGCCACCGAUGCUUGUAAGACUACUCCCAGAUGGUUGUUGUUGUGGAUAUGGUUGUUGAGGUUGGUGUGGUUGCUGGGGGAAUGGUUGUUGGGGUUGCUGGGAAAUUGUUUGUUCUAGUUGCUGGGAUAAUUGUUGUUGGGGCUGCAAAAAUGGUUGUUGUGGUUGCAGGAUGGAUGGUUGCUGGGGUUGGGGCUGGGGAAAUGAUUGUUGUGAUUGUUGGGGUUGCUGGGAAAAUGGUUGUUGCGGUUGAAGGGGGAAUGGUUGUUGUGGUUAUAGAGGGAAAGGUUGUUGUGGUUGUUGAGGGAAUGGUUGUUGUGGUUGUUGNNNNNNNNNNNNNNNNNNNNNNNNNNNNNNNNNNNNNNNNNNNNNNNNNNNNNNNNNNNNNNNNNNNNNNNNNNNNNNNNNNNNNNNNNNNNNNNNNNNNNNNNNNNNNNNNNNNNNNNNNNNNNNNNNNNNNNNNNNNNNNNNNNNNNNNNNNNNNNNNNNNNNNNNNNNNNNNNNNNNNNNNNNNNNNNNNNNNNNNNNNNNNNNNNNNNNNNNNNNNNNNNNNNNNNNNNNNNNNNNNNNNNNNNNNNNNNNNNNNNNNNNNNNNNNNNNNNNNNNNNNNNNNNNNNNNNNNNNNNNNNNNNNNNNNNNNNNNNNNNNNNNNNNNNNNNNNNNNNNNNNNNNNNNNNNNNGAAUGGUUGGUGGGGAAUUAUUUGUUCUGGUUGCUGGGGAAUUAUUUGUUCUGGUUGCUGGGGGAAUGGUAGUUGGGGUUGGGGAAAUGGUUGUUGGGGUUGCUGGGGGAAUGGCUGUUGUGGUUGCAGAGGGAACGAUUGUUGGGUCUGGGGAAAUGGUUGUUGUGGUUGCCAGGAAAAUGGUUGUUGGGGCUGUGGAAAAGGUUGUUGUGGUUGUUGGGGUUGCUGGGGGAAUGGUUGUUGUGGUUGUAAGGGGGUCGGUUGUUGGGGUUGGGGAUAUAAUUGUUGUGAUUGCUGGAGAAAUUGUUGUUGGGGUGUGGAAAAUGGUUGUUGUGAUGGAUAUGGUUGCUAUGAUGGAUAUGGUUGUUGUGGAUAUGGCUGUUGUGGAAAUGGUUGUUGUUGAUGGGAAAAUGAUUGUUGAGGUGAUUGUAACUCUUUGUUGCUAGGGUUUAGCUGCCUAGCGGCAAUGGCGGUGUUCAUCGCCAUGGCAAGGAGGACAAAGAUGAGGAAGGUCUUCAUGUUGGAUUUGUGGUUACUACUGCUUGCUUGCCUUUGAUGCUUGUGGUCUAGGUGUGUGAAGUUUGGUUGAUGGAAGGUGUCCUUGGUGGUGCAUGUGUAUUUAUAGUUUUCAUGGCAUGGCUUGCUUUCAUCUUUGCACUCGCUCUUUGAAAAAGUGCAUCAAUGCUUAUCCAACUAAUCAUUUGGUUUGUUGUGUUUGGUGCAACUACUUACU